RNAcentral lists this long non-coding RNA (51372 nucleotides) under Solanum lycopersicum (tomato). RNAcentral's name for it is "long non-coding RNA (SLYC_LNC000190)". The stretch from base 22279 to 22351 matches the Rfam family "tRNA". The record is from RNAcentral. Lineage: Eukaryota; Viridiplantae; Streptophyta; Magnoliopsida; Solanales; Solanaceae.
UAUAUAUAUAUAUAUAUAUAUAUAUAUAUUGUCACCCUCCAACUCAUGAUUUGUGCCAUCAAAGGUGACUCCAUUUCCAAAAUAUUAAUUUAAUAGUGAUGAUCGAUAUCUUGUUUUGAUAGCUAGUCUUUCUGUCAUUAUUGUUUCAUACAAAGAAUAAUUUUGUUUGCAAUCAAUGUAAAUAUUGUUUAUUUGUUCCAAGUUAAAAUCAACUUUUUAUUUCUUUUAGCUCGGACAUACCAAAUGCUAUCAUAUUGUACCAAAUAUUAUUAUUGUUUUGUUCAUAGUUGAUUAUAAAUUUUUAGUAUAUAUUCAUAUAAUGUAAUGUUUUCUCCAUCAAGUUAUAUUAUCAAUAAUUAUUUUAAUACUUUUAGUAAAAAUAUAAAUAGUUAAAUCAAGUAAACAUCAAGAUGUCAUAUUCAAUUAAACAACGCCUUGUAAAAUAAGACUAAGGAAGUUUAUAUGUUGAAUUUUAAAGAUAUUUAGUGAAAAGUGUUUCAAUUUUUGUUAUUACAAGGAGAGAUCAACAUUUUUAUUCUUAUCAUGAUAGAGUGAUAUGUAUCUCAAGUCUUUGAUUAAGAUAUGAUCGGUCUCUUUUAUACCCACUUUUUAUUUUAAUUUUAUUCAAAGAGAAACGUUAGAAAUAAAGAAAAGUCAUAAUUAAAAGACAUUGUGAUUGAUAAUUUAGAUGUGAUUAGUUAAUAAUUUAACAAUUGUUUGCUUUUGCAAUAAUCUUAGACAAGCUAUUAAAUCUGAGCAUUCCUGUAUUCUAGCGAUAUUCAAGAUACUAUAAUAUUUCUAUCGCAAUACGAAUUCUAGAUAACAUUAUAGUGGCAGAUAAAUAGGAUAACUAACGCAUGAAAUACUGAAAUCUUCCCUUUUAUAUAUCUAAAUGGAAAACAAUUGAAAUAUAGAAAUUUUAAUUGUUCUUACAACAUUUUUCUCUAAUAGUUUGCUCGGCAUUACAACUUGUCCUCCGUCUUAUUGUUUGGUUUUAUCUACUUUAUGCAUGACCACAUGAUAACUACUAUAACAACAUGUUGUCUUAUUCACACACAAAUUUCGAUCAAACUUAAACUGUUUGAAUCUCAAAAUAUGAAAAGUUUCACAUAAAUGCGACAGAGGAAAUAUUUUUUUAUGGUUUUUCGAAAAACAUAAAAUUUGUUAAUUUAUACUUUUUACUAAAACAAUCAAGAACAUUCAAUCAUAUCAAACAAAUAUACUUUUUAAUCUAAUAUAAGAAGAACCUUCUCAAUUUGUUCAUUGAUUAUCAAUUAACACAAUACCCAAAAUUCAAUCAACUACAAUGUAAUAAACCUCCAAUUAUUUUUUCUUUAUUGCAUCUUUUCUCGGUGUUAAUAGCAUUGAUAUUGGUUAGUAUAAUCCCCUUGUUGUUCAUUUGGUUUCUGCGCAAGUUUUUGAAUGGUUGACUUUGGUAAAAACAUCAGGUCGACGACCUCAAAACACAAUUUUGGUAGCUCUGCUAGCUCCAAAACAUCAAGUUUGGUCAAAAGAAUCUUCGGAUCGGAUCUCGAGGCUUUCGAACUCAUUUCGAACUACCUUGUGGAAUUUGACUUGAAAUGGAGGUAAUUGGGUGUGGGACCCACUUUUCAUUGUUGAUAGGAUCUCGAUUGGAAGUUUUGACAUCUCUUUUGAGUCUGCAAUAUCAAAUUUGGUUGGGUAUGUUAGAAUAUAGGCGUCCACUAAAAGUCAAUGGACCUCCUUGACAUGUUAAGAAAAAUAUUGCAAGCAACAAUGGUAAGACAAGAAAAACAACAAAAAACAAGAAAAGCAGUUUACAUGGAAACCCCUUGCUCUAAGGGCGGUGAAAAUCACGACCUGUCCUCACAUGCUUUUCAAACAAAACUCCAUUUCUUCUAAAUAGAGCAACGAUUAAGAUUGCAACACCUUUGCAACUUAGGAAUUUUCCUCUAAAUUCCUCUACCCUAAAAGUUGUAUUUUCAUAACAAAUAGAGCAACUAUGCAAUAUCACAUUUUCCCACUGAGCUACCCAAUACAAUAUUACAUUGAAUUCACUAAGAAAUCCAUGGUUUCCCACUAACCAACUUGACACUGUCACGCCCCGAGUUACCUUCGAGACGCGGACACGGAAUCGAGGACCACAAGUGAUCCUAAGCUAACUCUGCUGGCAUGAUCAUGAGCAUACUAAAGAUAAUAAACUGUUGCAGAUGAUAAAUUAUAAUUUAAACUAAAAAGAUGGGAAGACCCAACUAAAUCUAGCAAAAUUUGAAAGUAAAAGACUAAAUGUUGAAAAGAAACUCAUGACUAUUGUCCUCGGAGAAUGACGACUCACGACUGAAUCUACUUAACUGAAGAUCGAAAAUCAAUCUAUGUGUGAUCUGGGUGAUGAGAACCUAAACCUACAUCACGAGAAGAUGUAGCGCACGUAUGCAUCAGUACUUAAAAGGUACUGAGCAUGUAGGAUUGAAUAAAGCUGACAUAAAACAUAACUGAACAAGCACAAAAGCAAGUAUAAUAAUCUGAACAUGAUAUAGAGAAUUUAUAGCUAAUUGAAUGCAAUCAAAAAUUUAUAACAUGCUGAAACUGAAUACUGGAUAUACUGAUAAAUGGUCAAUGUAAGAUGGUCUGACUGAACCGUGGAGUCCGAUGUAUACGCCCCAUCGAGAGGACCCAAUAUACCCUGCCAAAGAAAGGAAUAAAGCAUGUUGGCAUGAUCACUAAACUGAUUGCCCACCAACUUGGCUAGUAGUUCUGGAACUAUUGGGCACAUUGAACCCUAUCCAACUUGGUAUUAUGCUACUCCAAUUCAUUUAUGUAGUUAACUUAUUAUGUCUGAAUUUCUUUAAUUACUGGAUAGAUCAAAACUGCACAUGCAAACUAAUAAUGCAAAAUUUAAUCUGAUAAUGAUGUAUGAAAAACUGAAGCAUGUGUAAUUGCAUAACUGAAAUAUCUAACCUAGCAUGUGUAAUUAAAGAACUAAAGAAAUACAAAGCUAGGGUUUUAAAAUUCAUGCGAUAAUCUGAGUAAUAACAUGAUAAUCUGAUUUGGAAAAUAUAUUUUAACUAAAUCAUGAAGUUCUGCUGGAAUUCUAGGAAUCCUAGGUUUAAUCAUAAUAAGAGAAUCAAGACUGAUUGAAACUAGGGACCCAAUGGGUGAAAGGAACCCACCAAUGAAAUCCCAUAUACCUGGUUAUGAAAUUCACGGAAAAACACUUACAUUUCGGGGCAGGAAUUGCUGGAAACUUGUUGCAUUCUUGAACUAGGGUUCUUGAGCUUUUUCUCCUCUCUUGCUUCUAAUUUCCUAACUUUUUAUUUAUGAUUUUGACUUAGGUAAGUUCUUGUUAUGUUUCUAGUCUUAAACUGACUAAAAUCUGAUGAUUCAGGGUUAAAACAAUGUAUCUUAGGGUUUAAAUGAAGUGGGAAAAUACCAAAAGACCCUUGAGUUAAUUGUUGUCGGACCAAACGACGACCAAAACAGACAGUUCGUCGUUCCAUCGACGGUCCGUAGGUUGGGCCUGUUGAAUAGACAUUUACUAAAACGGGCAUAACGUUUUACUCGGAGGUCGAAUUUUAGCAAGGUCAGUGGAUAUGGAAAGAUAAUUUAAUUAUCUAUCUUGUUGUAUGUCAUAGGGCACAUAAUUUAUUUUGUGCUGAGAGUUAUAAUCAUUUGAAGUUGACCCAACUGCAUUUUCCCCCUAACUGUUUGCUAUUUCUCACUUACGGUCAGACCUAUGAAGCGUAGGUCAAUCUACGAACCGUAGGUCCAUCUACGGACCGUGAUGGUCAUCCAUGGAUCUUGUAUGAGAGUGGGGGAAUAGGGUGUCGAUUGACAGAUACCGACUACGGACCGUAGGUUCGUCCAUCGAUCAUGACUUAACUAAAUUUUGCUAGGCUGAGAUUUUUGAGGUUUCUAACCCCAUUGACGGAUGUGAAGGACGGACCGUGGGUCAGUUUGUGGUCCAUCGAUGGCGCCGUUGGUUACACCAACAGAUUUUUUUGAAAAUAUAGUGUUUGGUCUAUUUUGGAUACGGGGUGUUACAAGCACUAGAUGACUUAGGAUUUGACUAAGGAGCAAAGAAUGAUGCCCUUCAAACCAGUUAGACACAACUGAUUUAGAAUUUUGACGAAUUGAAAAAAGACCCUUUAUAGUUAGGAUUAUACUUACAACGAUGAAAACGGAAGUAAACACCUAAGACAACUUAGAGACAAGCUGCUCUAUCUAGUUCAUGUUGCUCUUUGGUAAGUACUUCUUGAGAUGAGUUGUUUUUGCCUUUCUACUUUGAAAAUCUAUGUUGCAAAAACUAAUGUUGUGUCUGUGUGUAAAUUUCCUUAUGAGAAACACACAACCUUCAAGGUAAUUCCAUUGACCCGAGUUUCUGCCACACUUGGAGACCGUGCACCAACUUGUGUACUUUUUCCGCUGUCAAUUGUUCGGAUAUGAAUGAUAGGGAUCAGGUCCCCUUACAAGAUCCUCUGUUUGUCAAAUCAUUAAAAUUGCAAAUAACAUUUUCUCCCAUUUUGAUGAUGACUAACUCAUAAUGAUAUAUGGUCUUCUUUCUCAACUUCCCCCUGUCUAUAAGGCACUUAUUAUUCCCCCAUUUGGCAUCAUAAAAAAGAGAGAAUAAACAAAUAUUAAAAGCAAACAUUCAUAGAAAGGUCGUAGUUUUCAGAAACACAUCAUAAAAAGAAUUAGACUGGAAGACAUCACAACAAAACAAAAUUACUUUUCAUUGUACAAAGUAAGAAUUCAUUACAUUGAUAAUAAAAUCCUAAAGAGAACUCGGGACACUGCCCACAUAAAAAAAUAGGCAAGGAAGAGAAUUAGGAGGAGGAGGCUGAUGAGUGAGAGAUCUGAUGACAAACGCAAGUCGGUCAUUGGUAGAGUCAUGAAACCUUUCUUAAAUUUCAACAAUUUGAGUCAGAAGGGAUGCAUUAUUCAGAUGCAACUCUUGGAUCUCUUUAGUACCAGGUCCGUCAGACUGAGCUUUGGCUAGAAGUGCCUUCAAUAGUUCAGAAUCCUUCUUCCCAACAAGUGUUGUCAUUUCCUCUAGUUAAUGGUUCAGUUAAUCUUGCUCAGCCACUAAGUGAAACAUUUUACUCAGUCGUCCUGUUUAACCCUCGGUGCACUCACACUCGACAAAGGUACAACAAGAAAUUGAUUAUUUAACUUUUCCAACAUUACCUGGUGCACUGAAAAACUUUUGCAUGAUCGAACAUUUGUAAGAGAGUAUCUAUAUCUCAUUCCAUGCUUGCCUUUACGUUCUAUUAUCGUCUUGUGCAUGUGUUCCAACAUGAGUGAUGUCAUAUUUAAUUGGGUUGAACUUCUAGAUAGAUUCCAUUAGGAAUAAACCUGUUGAAUUAGAAAUUGUACGCUUCUUAGAUCGAGGAAAAACCACUUUUUUCGCAAACUAAAACACAAUUGGUAUUCCCAUUUCAUGAGCUUCUUAUGAGUUCCUGCAUGAUGCAUGUUUGGAAGUGUAUAUCACUCAUUGGAAAAGUGAUGAGUACAGAUUUUCUAUCCGUGGACCUGAUCCCUUAUCUAUUUAGCUUUGGAAUAUCUCUCAACAACUCCUCAUUUAGAUGAAUCCAUUAAUCUCUCACCAAAGUCUGAAGACUUACAUCCUCAUUGAAAUCCACAUUGUAAUAUAACUUCCUUACUUGGUAUUCAUGCAUUACAUGAAAUUUAGUUGUGAACAUGUGAGUCCGUUAUUAAAUAUCCAAUAGAUCUGCCAACGAGUUCAUUCCAGGUUUCUUGAGGAUCAUGGGGUCAAAAACUCUCCCACAUAGGACCUUUUGUGCAGAUUGUUAACAAUAUCCUGCUUGGUGUGAUCCUUUCCAUAUCACUUUCUCUUGGUACCAAGUCCCUAUUCUAGUACAUUUUUAGCAAUAUGCACAAUCUCGACCUUUUAUUUUUAUUUUUCCAUAGCCUUUUUCUUAGUUGUUGCUUUAGCCUUCUCCCAUUUUCAGCAGCAACCCCAUGUGCAGAGAGAUAUCUAGAUUUUCCCUUUUCUUGUUCCUGUCUUCACCUCUGUAUCUUAGACAGUGAAGUAUCGUCUAAGUCAGUAUCAUUCUCUCACUGUUCAUUUCGGACCACCACCCCUCCUUCUCUAGGUAUAUCAAUCUUCAAAUUACAUUCCUUUUUCCUUCUUCUAUUUUCUUCAGUAGUUGCUUUGUUUGAAUUUUCUUUUUGGAGAUUCCUCAACAACCUUUUACAUUCCUUUUGCAGUUACAUGCACCAUUCUUUUUUGCACUGCCCAUUUGAGUGGAGUGGUGUCCUCAUCACUGUCGUUUGAGUCACUAGUAAAAGAAAGUCCAAGUUCUUGGUGUUCUAUUAAAGAUUGGUUCAGUGUUUUCAAAAAAAACUUCACCAAAACCACAACUUUCCUUAUUUAUCAACUCUUCUCGCAUCUAUGCUAUAUUCUCUAUAACCAAGAACUCACUAGCAGCAAGAAUAUUUGAUUCGGAAUGUCAAUGCUUAGGGAGGUCACUCUCAAACAAGCAAUUGUUGACAUAUAGGGACCAGGUUGGCUAGGAGGUGCAUAAUUAUUAAGGUCAAUAGGACACAAAGGAGACAACUAGUAUUAGUAUCUUUCCCCGGAAGAGAGAUUGACAAUUUUCAUCUUUGAGGAAACUUCGGGAGACAAGAAAAAAUAGGCAGGAUCUAUUUCAUUGGAAGUACCUAGUACAUUCCUAGGAGGUAAGGGUGAUUUAGACAUGACGAGAAGAAGAGCAAAGAAGAAGCCUUGAAAACAAUAAGUUAGGGUUUUCGUAGAGAAAAGGAACAAAGUGGAUUUUGAAUAGAUUUUGUAAAGGCCUAGUGGGAAGAGAUAUAAAAAGGAUUUGAAAAGAUGUGUCAUGUCCUUGAGAGAUACGACGCUUGAACUAAAAGUAAUGGAAACAUCGGUCAGAUUGACCGAUGGCUAACACAUAGAGGUCUCAACAUUUCUCAAUGUCAGUUUUAAAAUUAAUGAAAUAAAUUUUAACCUUUAUACAGGACAAGGUCCCUAUAUGAAUGUGAAAAGAUUAAUGGAGGAGCGGCAUACCAAAAAAAAGCCCUUCCUCAUAUUUGAACCAAUGACUUUGUUAGUCUAUUUUUAAAGGGUGAACUAAUCGACUUGCAUGUGUUAAGCAUACGACUGAAGUAGCAUGAUUAGACCUUCUUAUCACUUUUUUGACUAGUUAUUAACUUCAACCCCCCUUCUCCUACUUAGAUGGAGUUUGAAUUGUUAAGAGCCUUCUUCACUUCUCCAAUUUCCACUAGUGUAUACCUGCAAAGGAGGUACACAAUCGGUCUAACAUGGAAGGCACUAUAAUCACAAGGAUACUUGUUAUGCAGAUCAUAGACAUUGAAGGUGGAUGCCCAAGAAGAGACAACUUAGUCCAUUUUCAACAUUCCUAGCUUCCGCAUAUUAGUCACAAACUGAUCUUUACUCAAGGCUUUGGUAAAGAUAUAAGCAAUUUGAUCCUCGGCUUUGUAAUACUACAUACAAAUAGUUCCUUUUCAACAUUAUCCCUUAGACAGUGAUGUCUAACAUCAAUAUGCUUUGUUUUGUUACGUAACAAGAUUCUUCCACAUAAUGACAACACCGGUGUGAGUGAGAAUUCCAAAAUCUUUCAAUUGUUGCUUUACCCAAAGUAAUUGAGCUCAACAUGAGGCAACAACAACAUAUUCUGCCUUGGCUGCAGAGAAGGCCACAAAAUUUUGUUUCUUAGUUCCCUAUGAGAUGAGAAUGGAUCCAAGAAAGGGGGCCAUUCUGAAAAUGUUUUUCUUGUCAACCUGAUCCCCCGUCCCUUUUAGAACCUCAGAAUCCUCUUGACACCCUUUUGGUGCAACUCUUUGGGACAAGCUUGAAAUCUUGCACACAUCCAUACAUUGAACACUAUGUCAGGUCUACUUGUUGAGAUACAACAGUGAUCGAUAAUUCCGUUGUACAUAGUUUGAUUUACCAAGCCACCAGAAUCAUUAGCUCCCAAUUUGGAGUUAGUACUCAUGGGGUGUCAAGGGGCUUUGAAUCAGUCAUAUAAAACUUUUUCAGCAAUUAGUUGACAUAUUCAGGUCUCAUUUGAAGUUUGAUUGAUCUACAAACCUAAGAAAAAUGUAAUCUCUCCCAUCAUAUGCUCAUUUCAAAUUCAUUUCCCAUCAGAUUAGAUUUUUCACAUAGGACCUGUGAUGUUGCUCUAAAGAUGAUGUCAUCCACAUACACUUGAAUAAUAAGCAUCUCUAUCCUUCUACUCUUAGAGUAUUGUCAAUUAUCCCCCUUUUGAAAUCAUUUUUUCGAAAAAAAACUAGACAACCUUUCAUACUAAGCUCUAGGAGCCUGUUUCAGUCCAUAAAGAGCCUUGUCCAUCUUUAGCACAUGAUUUAGGUGAUCAAUAUUUUCGAACCAGUGUGUUUGUUUUAAGUAUACUUCUUACUUCAAAUCACCAUUUAGUAAAUCACUUUUGACGUCUAUGUGGAACAAAUUGAACUUCAUAUAUGAUGCAAAGCAAUGAGAAUUCGGAUGGACUCCAUUCUAGCGCCUGAAGCAAAUGAUUCAUCAUAGUUAAUGUCUUUUUCUUAAUUAUAGCGUUGAACCCACCAAUCUUGAUUUGUUUUUUGUGAUAAUGUCAUUUUCAUCAAGUUUGUUUCUAAACGCUUACCUAGUCCCAGUAAUAGUUUUUUCAUCAAGUCUAAGGACCAGGUGCCAUACUACACCACCCUGUAUCCAAAACAGACCAAAAACCAGCUUUUCAGAAAAAUUUGCAGGUGCAACCAACAGGGCCAUCGACGUACCAUAGAAUAACCCACGGUCCAUCCUACACAUCCGUCAAUGAGGUCAGAAAACCCCAAAAUGGCAGCCUAGAAAAAUUUGGUUAAGUCAUGAUCGCCGAACGGACCUACGAUCCGUAAGUCAGACUACGGUCCAUAGUCCGUGAACGUCGAUUGACACCUCAUUCACCCACUCUCUGAAAAGAGCCACGGAUGACAAACACGGUCCAUAGGUGGACCCACGGUCCAAAGGUCUGACCGUAGGUGGGAACCAGCAGACAGUUAAGGGGAAUAUCGAGUUGGAUCAAAUUCAAAUGGUCAUAACUCUUACAACAAAAUGAAUUAGGUGUGUCAUGACCUACCUACACGUAGAUAAUUAAAUUAUCUAUCGAUAUCCACAAACCUUGUUAAAAUAAGACCUUCGACUAAAGAGUUAUGUCCAUUUUAGUAAAGGCCUUACAAACAGGCCGAACCUAUGGACCCGACGAUGGACAAUCGAUCAAACGACAUACCAUCUGUCUAGGCCAUCGUUUGGUCAGACAGAAAUCAACUCAGGGGUCUUUUGGACUUUUCUCACUUCGUCUAAACCCUAAGAUACAUCAUUUUGACCUAAAUCAUCAAAUUUUAGUCAGUUUAAGCCUAGAAACAUAACAGAAAACUUACCUAAGUCAAAUCAUUAAUCAAAACUUGGAAAAUUAGAAGCAAGAAAUGAGAAAAAGGUAAAGAACCCUAGCUCAUGAACGCAACAAGUUUCCAGCGGUUCCAGUCCUGAAAUCUAAGUAUUUCUCCGUGAAUUUCAUCACCAUGUAUGUGAGAUUUCACUAGUGGGUUCCUUUCACCCAUUGGGUCCCUAGUUUUCAGUCAGUUCUUGAUUCUCUUAUCAUGAUUAACCUAGGGUUCCUAGAAUUAUAGAAGAACUUCAUGAUUUAGUUAAAAUAUAUGUUCCGAAUCAGGUUAUCAUGUUAUUACUCAGGUUGUAGUAUGAAUUUCAGAACCCUAGCUUUGUAUUUAUUUAGUUCUUGAAUCACACAUGUUAGGUCAGAUGUUUUAGUUAUGCAGUUAUACAUGCUUCAGUUUUAAUGCAUCAUUAUCAGAUUAAAUGUUGCAUUCCCAGUUUGCAUGUUCAGUGUUGAGCUAUCAAGUAUUUACAUAAAAUUCAGACAUAAUCCAUUAACUACAUAAAUCAAUGAGAGUAGCCUAAUACCGAGUUGGACUAGGGUUCAUCAUACCCAAUUAGCCCCAGAACUACUAGCCAAGUAGGUUGUAAGUCCCUUCUGUGGCAAUCAAUUUAGUGAUUACGCUAGCAUGCUUUUAUUCCUCUGGAAGGGUAUAUUGGAUCCUCUCGAUGGGGCGUAUACAUCUGACUCUAUAUUUAACUCAUGUGGAUUUAUUAUCGGUUAUUAGUAGCUCCUAAAUUUCAGUCAGACACUAUUACAUUGACCAUUUAUCAAUAUAUUCAGCAUUAAGUUCCAGUAUGUUAUAAAUUGGUCAUUGCAUCCAAUCAGCUCAAAAUUCAGUAUAUCAUGUUUAGAUUAUUAUACUUGUUUUUUUUCUUAUUCAAUUAUGUUUUGUUUCAGUUUUUUUCUAUCCUACAUGCUCAGUACCCUUCAAGUUCUGAGGCGUAUAUGCGUUAAAUCUUCUCAUGAUGUAGGUUCAAGUUCUUAGCAUCCAGAUAACGCAUAGAUCGAUUUCCCGAUCUCCAGUUCAACAGAUUCAUUGGCGAGUCCUCAUUCUCAGAUGAAAACAAUCAUGAGUUUCAUUUAAGUACUUUAGUAAUUUAAUUAUAGUUUUUUCUAGAUUUAGUUGGGGCUUGUCCAAGUAUUUUUAGUCCAGUUUAGAGGCUAUUUUCAGACAUACUUAGUUUCAGCUUAGUAUUGAGUUAAUAUUUCUUUUGUAUUAAACUCAUCGUUUUUAAAUACCUCAGUUAAGAUUAUGGGUAUUCCCCAUAUUUUCAGUUUAAAUUAUGAUUUUGCUUUCACAUUAGUUUAUUAUCUUUAGUAUGCUUAUGAUCAGGCCAACAGUAUUAGCUUGGGAUCACUUGUGGUACUAGGUUUCGUGUCUGCAUCUCGAGGGUAGGUCGGGGCGUGACAAAAUUUGGUAUCAGUGCACUAGGCUCAAGAGUCCUAGGAUGUCUUUAAAUCCCCACUAAGUACUUAUCAUAGGUGUGAAGUGCACUACAUCUAAUGAGAAGGAGGCUAUGCGUAAGGUAUGAUCUAAUCCCAUUUUAACUUGAUUUCUAUGUUUCAGAUCAUGCCUCCUGGUAGAGCUAACGUUAUGAAUGUGAAUGCCAUGAAUGUAAACCAGCUUCUCCAGUCUCAGAUCAAGAAGUCUUCUAUGCUGAGUUCAGUAAUGCCAUACAGAUAUUUGCUCAGAGAAUGACUAACCAUAACAAUCGGGUUCAUGCUCAUGUGAAUGAAAAUGGUGAAGCAGUAGCACCAAGGGUCCGUGACUUUGUUAGGAUGAAUCCACCUGAGUUCUUAGGAUUACAAACUAAUGAGGAUCUUCAAAAUUUCAUUGAUGAGAUCAAGAAAAUCUUUGAGGUAAGGCAAGUCAUUGGGAAUGAUCGGGUUGAGUUGACAUCAUACCAGUUGAAGGAUGUUGCUUUUAUUUGGUACACUCACUCGAAAGAGAAUAGGGAUGCAAAUGUGGUUCCUAUCAUUUAGGAUUGCUUUAGUGAGACUUUUAUCGACAAGUUUUUCCUAAUAGAGUUGAGAGAGGCAAAGGCUCAGGAAUUCAUGAACUCGAGGCAGGGUAACAUGACAAUCCAAGAGUAUGGGCUUAAGUUUAACCAACUCUCCCGGUAUUCUCCUCACAUGGUAGCUGACUCCAAGUCUCAGAUGAAGAAGUUCUUGUAUGGAGUGUUGGAUUUGGUGAAAACUGAGUGCAAAAAUGCUAUGUUACUUGGAGAUAUAAACAUAUCUAGGCUUAUGACUCAAGCUCAGCAGGUUGAGGUUGAUAAGCUUAGGGAACAAGCUAAUGAGAAUAAAAAGGCUAGGACUGGAAACUAUGACUAUUCUCAUCAAAAUCGGGUCGUGGAAAUCGCUCGCACAGUCAACAAAAGUUUUCAGCUCUAAUGCCUUCAUCAGCUAGUGUUUUAUCUUCCAAGAACAAGUUUGACCAGAAAGGUAAAGCACCAGGAUCUAAGUCUCUGGGAAAUUUUUCAGGCACCAAGACUUACCCCACUUGCCCUAAGUGUUGUAAGAACCAUCCGGGCGAAUGUCUUACAGGAAAAGAAGGAUGUUUUGAGUGCAGUCAGUCUGGUCACAGGUGAGGGAUUGUCCUUCUAGACAGGGUCAAGGAGGUGUUAAUGGUAGAGCUCAGUCUACAACUUCAUCAGCGCCAUCAAGUCACCAGACUCAGCAAGGUAACUCAUCUAGUACAAGCAGUGGUCAGCGCCAGAAUAGGUUGUAUGCUCUUAAAGCUCGCCAAGAUAAGGAAGGUUCUCCUGAUAUAGUCACUGGUACGUUACGAGUCUUUUACCUUGAUGUUUAUGCAUAGUUAGAUCCAGGGGUACUCUUUCCUUUGUAAUUCCUUAUAUAGCAGUCCAAUUUAGUGUUGGUCCAGAAACUCUCUCAGAAUCUUUCUCAGUCUCUACUCCAGUCUGUGACCCCGUUAUAGCUAGACGAGUAUACAAAAAUUUCCCUAUCACAGUCUCUCAGAAAGUCACAUCAGCAGAUCUUGUAGAGUUAGAAAUGGUAGACUUUGAUGAAUUCUAGGCAUGGAUUGGUUACAUUCAUGUUAUGCCUCAGUCGAUUGUAGAACUAGGAUUGUUCAUUUCCAGUUUCUAGAUGAACCAAUCUUAGAAAGGAAGGGUAGUAUCUUAGCGCCUAUGGGUGGAUUCAUUUCUUACCUUAAGGCAAGAAACAUGAUAUCUAAGUGUUAUCUCUAUCAUCUAGUUAGGGUUAAGGAUUAUAGCUUUGAAACCCCAACUCUUUAAACAAUUCCAGUAGUCAGUAAGUUUCCAGAAGUGUUUACGAACAUCUUUCAUGAUAGGGAAAUUUACUUUGGAAUUGAUCUCCAGAUACCCAACCUAUUUCUAUUCCUUCUUACACAAUGGCUCUAGCAGAGCUUAAGGAAUUGAAAGAGAAAUUGAAAGACUUCUACAUAAUGUCUUCAUUAGACCUAGAAGAUACGGUAUUUUCAAAUCCCAAUGCGGCGUACUUGACCUAUUGGAGGUCUUGUAGAAGCCCUUAGACAUCAUUCAUUGCAUAUAUAACAAAAGUAGUACGGAAUUCAAACUUUUUUCUUUAGAAACAUAAUGCGGAAGUCAUUUCGUAAAAUGUCUAACAUAUGUAAUAAAAACCAUCGAUGACAUCAUGAGUAUAAUCGUCUUGUAUCACAACCCAUAAAAUUCUAAACAUGAAAGAACAUAAAAGAUAACAUAGUAGUGAUGUCCUUGGAUCCUAUGAGGACUCACCAAUUUUCACUUCUUGAUAAGCCUUGGAAACUCUACCCUUAAAAAUAACUCAAUCUGCUCAAGACCCUAUAAGGAAAACAUGUAGGCAAUAUGCAUUAGUACGAUACAUAAUAAGUAUAGAAACUAUCAUACGCAACAUAAGAUAUCUCAUAGGGUUAGUCAAUAAUAGACAUAAUCAUAAAAGAUAAAAACAUAAGCCUAACAUGAAUAUCAUAAGCAUAUUAAAGCAUCAUAAAAAAAUGUAAGAGUUCAUACUUAACCCCUUUGUCCUCAUUACUCAAAUGAACCAUACCACAUGCCACCUCCAAGAAUACUUGUGCAAGGCUAAGAUAGCAUCCCAUACUACUACCAAAGCUAAGUACCUCUCUUUGGUCAUUCUUGAUCAUGAUUCACUUUCAUAAUUAAGACCUAAGUUCAUCAUAACAUUUUGAACAAUGUGCCCCUAGGCCACCUCAAAGCACACUUGUGCAAUGCAUGUGAAGCAUACCAUACUACCUCACACACUAAGCAUAUCUUGAAGUCACCUAUCUUGUUUCAUGUCAUCUUAGGAAUUUCUAGUAGACCUACUUCAUCUUAUCAAGGAACUAUCAUCCUAAGUCAAUCAUGUCAUGGAAUUCAACCAUAGUCACUAUCCAAGGUAAGCAUACAUCAUGAAGGAGUCAUGUCAUAGGUCGCUGCAUGUCAUACUUGUGCCAUGUAUAGAUUACAUCUCAUACUACCAUUCAUACUAAGUAUUUCUCUAGACUUACCUAAUCUAAGAUAAUUUAUAUUAUAACAGUGUCUAUUAAGAUCAACAUACUACCAUAAUAGAUCUACUACCAUGGGAAGCAUCUUAACAUACUUACCAAGUUACUAAGGAAGGAUAAAACCAUCCUAACCACCAUGCAACCAAUCAUAUAGAUGCAAGAUAACCAUAGGGGAGCAUGAAUCAUAAACCCUAAGCUACCAUGAGAAACAAAUCUCAAACUACUCCAUCAAAUACACCUUACAUACAAAUUAAACUACCAUUAGAAGAGUAUAUGACCUUCUCCUAAAGCUACCAUAAAAUGGUUUUGUCCAAACUAAGUCAAGCUACCAUAAGUUCAACACCUCAAGCUACCAUGAGUAAUCUAACCUAAGCUUCUACGAGAAUCAACAUCCCAAUCUACCAUGAGUAUUUCAACUAAAGACCCCUUGAGAUUUACUAUCUCAAGCCACCCUUGAGAUCUACCAUAUCAAGCUUAUCAUGAUAUCCAACAUCUCAAUCUAUAAUAAAACAGUGCGCAAUGUAGCAGUUACAGGCCACCAUUGAUGGACCCAAUCGACGGGGCAUUGGUCCAUCGAUUGGCCGUUUUGUGCCCUCCAUCGAUUGGGUCUGAGGCAGUAAAGUGUCCAAGACUUCUCCAAGAUAAGUUACCAUCGAUGCCUCCCCAUCGACAGGGCUUCAGUCAACCCACAGAUCAUGCAUUGGUCUCGUCGAUUGACAAUUCCAAGGUAGUGUCUCGACAGCCUUGGGUCCUUCUUAUGGGCCCUUUUACGGGGCCCUUUAGGAGUCGUACCCAGACAUUUCCAACGUAAAUACAAACCUUAACAAGUUGUAGACCUCCACAUGAGUUUCACCCAAAAAAAUACACGUAACACGUCCAAACAGGCUAGGCCCCCAUCAAGACACACUUGAGCGUCUUAAGGGCUAACUUUGAAACGUCUUUGGAUAUUCUUGGAUGUUUGAGCUCCCAACUUCAUGAAACUCCAUAUACUGUCUAAAAAGAUCAUUAUAACUCAUUUUAAUACUUCAUAAGCUCAUGAAAUACGGUAUAUAAACACGUAUAGAUACAUGAGAACACAGGUGACUAGUCGUUGAACGUCUUGGUCGUCCCUUGACGUUUGACUUCCAAAUCACCUCAAACUUUACAUACUGCCUCUAAACGAUAUUAUAAUUUAUUUUAGGACCUUAGAACCUUAAUACAAACAUGUUAGGAUCUAUACACCCUAACUCAUUUUGGGGGUCUUACAACAAGCCCAACAUAUAACUUAUAUAUCUAGCAACAUAUUACUUACAUGACACAACACAAUAGUCAUAUGUUGCAACAUAUGACUUAGCCAUUUUUUUACAACAUGUAAUUUAUGUUUCGCUACAGAAUAGUAUAUGUAGCAACAUUUUACUUACAUUUUCCAACAUAAUAUCCAUAUGUUGCAACAUAUAACUUACACAUAUUGACACAUAUGAUUUAUUUGUCACAACAUAAUAGUUAUAUGUAGCAACAUAUGACUUUCAUUUCGUAACAAAAAAGUUAUAUGUUUCCACAUAUAACACUUCUUCAUUAUUAUUAAUUGUUUUUCUUAUUAAUCUCUUCAGGUAAAAUAAAUGAAGGGAUUAUUUGUAGUGAUUGAUUGUCAUGGUGAAUGGGUCGAGAAGAAAAAUCGAUACAUUUGGCGUUGGAAGGAUGGUAAGAAACGGAGAGGGUUGGUAGGGAUGACGAUCGAAUGAAAUAUUUUUUAUGAUGACUUUUUAAAUUUAGUCAUACAAAAUUCUAGAGUCAAUUGUCAACCUAAUAUCUUAUUAUGAGUAACAUUCCCCAGUUUUUUCAUUAUGAGAAGGUCUUACCUUUUAAAAUAACCGAUCAACCUAGUUUUCAUAUUUAUUUGGGAAGAAUAGAAAGAAUGUCCAUAUUAAGAGUCUAUGUGGAUGAAAAUCCUAUUGAGGAGGAUGACAAUCAAGAAGAAUACCAACAAGAUAGAUUAAAUGAUAAAUUUGAUGUUGUGGAUGUGAAUAAUCACGAUAAUGAAGUUGAAAUAGGUGAAGUGCUAGACUUUGAGAGCAACAAUCCUCCUACACCUAUUAUUGGCAGCAACAAUCUAGUUUCUGCUCAAACAUCGAUUGUGAGUAAUGUUCCAGAUGAUGAAACCAUUUUUAUAAGGGAUUGACAUUCAACAACAAGGAAGAACUGACAAAUUCAUUGAGAACUGUUUGCUUGAAAAAAGAUUUUAGACUGAAAGUAAUCAAUUCUUGUAAUACGUUUUCUAAAUUGUUCAUAUCCGAAGUGCAAUUAGUGGCUGGGACAAUAAAUUUUACAAGUAGCGACAUGUUUGUCAUUAAAAUAUAUAAAAAGUACAAUAUGAGUGGUUCAGAGCACUUUACAAGCGAUAUUCCACGUGCCACGAAAAACGUCAUUGGUGAGUACUUUGAAAAUAGGUUUUACAAUGGUAAAGGGUCAUCCACAAGAGACAUGUCAAAUCAACUCCAUACAGAAUUAGGUUGUAAGAUUUAUAAGGGCAUGGAGCAUGCUAAAUCUAAUGUUAGGGAAACACAUGAGCACAGGUGUGCAGUGCUUAAUUCCUAAUGUUAUAUGCUUUAAGAUGCAAAUCCAGGAAGCAAGAUGACAUUGUCUCUUGAUGAAAAUAGGAGGUUUCAAGUACUUCUUUGUAUCAUAUACCUCUUGGACAAAUGUUUUUUCAAGAAAUGAUAAAAGUAAUAGCCAUUGAUGGGACAUUCUUGAGGAGCAAGUAUGAAGGAGUUUUCCUAUUGGUCGUGACACAAGAUGCUAAGAAUCAUAUAUUUUCAGUUUCUUUCUGUGUUUUGGACAAAGAAUGUGAUGCCUCAUAUGAAUAUUUUUUUCAAAAUAUGAGAAGCUUUGUUGAUGAUACUGAUGAGUUGUGCAUUAUCUGUGAUAGGCAUCCAAGUAUUUGAAAGAUGAUUUUGAAUAUCUACCAUGCAUCUCAUUAUGGUUGUUGCAUUAGACAUCUUGGGGAAAAUAUUCGAGAUGACUUUCAAAAUGCAAAGAUAGUAACACAUUUUUAUUAAACAACAAAGGCGUAUGAUAGAUGUGAGUUCAACGACCAUUUCAAUCAAAUGAGCGAUUUGGUACAAAAGGUGGUUGAAAUCGGAUGAAAGUUUUGAUUAUUUCAUAGAGUCUAGAAUGCCAAAUUAGAUGGAAUACCAUGUAUCAUUUUCGUGCACGAGGUUUCGAAUGAACUCUGGGAACCCAGUCAGAGAAUUUAGAGUUUUGAAAAUCAGCUGAAGUGCUGAUAUCUGGGACAUGCUUUUAGCUACCAAAUAUUAGACUUCUAGCAAUCGAUUUUGGGCCUUUAUAUCCAGGAAUUUCAGCUAUUUUCAAAAAGCAAUAUCUCCCUUAUCCGAUCUACCAUUCGUGUGAUUCGAGUUCCUAUUUGAUCGUUCUGAGUGUGGAUACUUAAGUUUGUGAUUAGAAGUUGUGAGGAACCUUCCUUUGAGGUGAAUUUGAGCUCGAAGUUUCUGCCUUUGCUUGGUUUUCUUGUUAGUAUUGCACAUUGUGCUUGUGGUUGUUUCAAGGCCUCAGACCUUAUUCAAUUUGGGAACACAAGUUUGAGAUGUAGUAGGACAUUUUGACGGAAUCAAUUUUGGAUUUUUGGUGCGGGUUCCACCUUCCCAUUUUGACUCAGUUUUUGUUCCAUUUACAAUUGUUACGAUUUUAGUGUCAAAACAUAUGCAAUGAAAUUAUAUUAUCGAUAAUUUGAAAGUUUGCAGUGUUGUGAGGCAUUUCAGAUGCGGUUAACUCAUGUGUGGUGGAUUCAAAGUGCUCGUGUUCAUCUUUUAGGGUAGGUUUUACUCAACUUUCUUGAUUGAGCUUCUUAGAUAAUGCCUAGUAUAGAUGUUUUGUCAGAUGAUUUUUGCCUGCAUUUGGCUUUCCUAUUUUUUCUUGAUUCUUUAGGAGCCUUGGACUUAUUGUGGGUGUUGGGAUCCUUAUUAUAGAUUGUGGCUUCACUCGUGAAGUAGAUGAUCUUUCUUUUACUUGUUUGGAAUUAUUUGUGGUUGCCUUAGACUAGGUAGGAAAUUAGAUGCUUUGGAUUAUGUUUUAUCACCUCGUAGUUUUAUCACCUCGUAGUUAUAGUUUGACCCCAUUAAGGCUUGUUUUGGGUUGUUCACCUUGCAUUGAUUCUUGUGAUUUUGGUGGCUCGUCAUAGCUAUGGGUUGGUCAUAGAUGUGCUCAGUGUGGGACUAGAGCAUGUGAUUGGGGUAGGGCGUUUUCCAUUGAGUUUUCUCCCUCUUCUAUUGAUUGGAAAUCUCUUUUAGGUUCCCUUUUCUUGUUGAUUAGCGGUGGGCAUGUUUAAUACUUAUAGAGCUUAUUAUUAUAUUGUAGGGCCUGAGGUCAUGUGUGAGGACUCGUUACAUCAUAGGUUAGUAGUCUCUGCUUUAGUAGUGUGAUUUCAUUUGUUGUAAAAUUAUAUGAUUUUGAGUGUGUUGUUUGAAUGCUGGUGAUGGCAUGCAUGCAUUACUUUGUUUGCUCAUUCUCACAAAUUUUAUGAUAUGAUCCUAGCCCAUGCAUUUGCAUAUUUAUCGUUCAUGACGAGAUACUGCUUUCUCAAUUUUUUGUUCUGAACUGGUUUUAAUGGGAGUGGGACCACCUGUUUCACUUGACUUACUUAUUUUUUAGAUCAUGUGGGGUCAUCAGGGAUGUGCUUCUUUCCUACUUGAGAUAUUAGAGGCAUUUGCGAUAUUUUCAGUUUGCACUUGACUACAUGGCGCGUCGAUGCCCUUUUCUCUGAGCCAUUUUUCUGCAGAUGCAAAAAGCUUAAAGUACCAUGUGUGAAGAACAGAUGAAGUUGUGAUAUUCGAAUAGUUUUUCAGUUAUCUAUAUAUAGAUUUUUACAAGCAUAUAAAAAGGAGGAUUUCAAUAUUUGAUACGUUAGUUGACCUAUUUUUCUGUCAAUAUUAUAGUAUCUAGAAUUUGUCUUGUAAUAGCAAUAUCAUAGUAUCUUGAAUAUCCCUAAAAUAAAGGAAUAUUUAGAUUUACUAGCUUCUAUGAGAUUAUUAAGGAAUCAAAAUUUUGUUAAAUAUUUACUAAUCACCUUUAAAUUGUUAAUUACAAUGUAUUUUAUGUCCUUUCUUUAUUGGUUGUUUUUCUCUUUAAAUCAAAUAUAAAUAAAAAGUGGAUAUAAGAGAGACUUCUGCAAAUAUUAUAGUAUCUAGAAUUUGUCUUGUAAUAACAAUAUCAUACUAUUUUGAAUAUCCAUAAAAUAAGGAAUACUCAGAUUUACUAGCUUAUAUGAGAUUAUUAAUGAAUCGAAAUUUUGUUAAAUAUUUAUUAAUCACCAGUAAAUUAUUAAUUACAAUGAAUUCUAUAUCCUUUGUUUACUUGUUGUUGUCUAUUUAAAUCAAAUCAAAAUAAAAAGUGGAUAUAAGAGAGACACAAUAUAUCUUAAUCAAGUAUAGUUUAACUUGACACAGAUACCACAAUAUCAUGAUAAUGAUUACAAUGUUGGUUCUUCCUCGUACAAAAAAUCAUUACUAUUAAAAGUUUUUAACAUCAAAAUAUAAACUCCAUUAGUCUAAUUUUAUAAGUCAUUGGUUUGACUGAAUAUUGCAUCUUAAUGUUCACUUGAUACAAGUAUUUAUAUUACUAGAUUCAUGCAAAAUUCGAUAAAGAUGAGGUCUAGAGAAAUUCAGGGAAGAAUUGGAUAAAAUGUAUAAGCUAUGGUUAGUCGUUCUAUUAGCUAUGACAUGAAUGAUUUUGUAGGAAUUUUCAGAAAUAAAUUGGGGUGAGUAGAACUCGAUGCUAUCAGACCUGGCAUGAACGGGUUGGUUUGGGACGUCAAUUUUUUAAGGUGUGUUGAAAAAUGGAGACUUUUGGGAUUAUUUUUGCGUUUUUUUGUCCCAUGCAAGCUUCCAUAGUGGGUGACACACUACUUUUGCGGUGUAAUCAACUUCCGCUACAACAAAAGGUCUCGCUAUAGCACUUCCACAAUAGUGGGAUUGAGACGCUUUAGCGGUAUUGAUCGCAAUUAGUGGAGAAAAUUCCCCAAAGUCGUUAAUUAUUUGGAAUAAGUUUUGGGGAAGAAAAGGGAGACUUAAUUAGGGCAAAUUUCAGUCAUUUUUCAUUAAGAGCCUUCGUAAUCCAAUCUUCAACUUCAUACUUUGUUGCCUAGGCCAUUGAGGUGCUAUUAGGGACUCUAGGAAACGUUUUGGUAUUCCAAUCUUCAACUUCAUACUUUGAUUGCCUAGGCCAUUGAGGUGCUAUUAGGGACUCUAGGGAAUAGUUUGGUUUUGUUCCUAAGGUUGGAAGAUCUGAGUUACUGAGGAUUUUGGGUUUUUAAUCCUUGGUUUAAGUGUUAAAUGUUUUUCUUGAUUUAUCUAUUGUUAUUUACUCUAGUAGCUAUGAAAUUGAUAGUUUUUGGUGAAUUAAUGAUGGAAAAGUCUUGGAUUGGGUUAGAAGAUAAUAAGUUUGGCUUAGGGUUGAGAUUAAGUUAUAAUAUGAGUAUUACUAGGCCAUUGGAGAUUGAAUCUUAUACAUAUAUUGUUAGUUGUAGAUCAAUAACAAGCUAUCUAGGAUUUGUAACAAGGGGAAGACUCAAGUCCAAUAGAGCUUCCAAGGCCUAUUUCGAUAAAGGGGAUAGUUUAUUGCUUUCAAGAUAUGUAAUGUAUGCAUCAUAACAGUUUUUAUUGUAUUGUUUCUGAAAUGCAUGGUAAGGAAGAUCAAACAAAUGUAACUGAAAUGAUACCUUGUACACCAUCACAUGCAAUGAAGGUGUUUCACUUUUCCCGUCUUCUAUCAUAAUUCUUUAAGAAUAGAACAAUCGUGCUGAUAACGUGUUAGGAAAUUAUAAAAGAAGAAGAAAGCAGAGAGAAAAGAAGACUUAUUAUUUCUCUUAAGGGAUAUUCAGGAUUCAUGAAUCUUCUUUACUACGAAGGAAAACCUCUUUAUUUAUAGGGUAAACCUAAUUUUGUUACCAAGUAGGAUUCCUAAGCAUAUCCUAAAAGAACUCAAAAUAAUUAGACAUUCACUAUAAUACAAAUAUGCUUAUAACACAUAUGUUUAUUUUGUUUGAUUUUUAAUACAUUUAUUCAUAUGUGUAUUCAUUCCGUCUAAAUAUUAAUAAAUUUUAUAUUUUUUGUUUUACAUUGUAUUUCAAUCUCAAUUAGUAUAUUAACAUGUUUGUAUUUCCUUCUUAAUUUGUAUUAAUCCUAACUAUAUGCUAACAAUUUCAUAUUUUAUUGGCUAUUCAUUCUGUAUUUUAAUCUCAAAUUAUAUGUGAACAAGUUUGUAUUUCUCUUUUAUUUUGUAUUUAACCUAAUUGUAUACCAACAAGUUUUGUAUUUUACGUGUCUACUUUACCUUUCAAAGUCACUUUGUAUUUCAAAUGAUGAUAAUAUUUCUUUUAUAUUCACAACUUUAUAUUCAAUCUCACUUUGUAUUUAUAACUUUGUAUUUGCGUCUCACUUUUGUAUUCAUACAUAGUUUUAUUCAACAUAUAUAGCUCAUGAUGGAUUAUUUUGUAUUUUACCUUACAAAGUCACUUUGAAUUUCAAAUGAAGAGAGUAUGUCUUUUGUAUUCACAACUUUAUAUUUAAUCUCACUUUGUAAUAUUAACUUUGUAUUUUCAUCUCGCUUUUGUAUUCAUUUAUUGUUGUAUUCAAGAUAUAGUUCAUGAUCAAUUAGUUAGAAUAAUUUAAUGGGAUACAUAUUUUGUAUGCAUUCAAAUAGAAAAAACAGCUACUAAACUAAAAAAAAAAUCAUUCGUUACACGUCAUAAUUUGGAUAUAAACUAUUCGAAAAAGUUAUAAAUUCCAGUACAUACAAAGAUUUCACUGAUUCAAUUAGAAAAAAACACUCUUGUCCUCGACAUAUACGAAUAUCUCAUCCAAACAAAUAAAAGAAUCGAAAAAGUACUUCACCUGAUGCAACAAAUUUAUAGUCGUAUUCAACAUGAAGAAACUUUGAAAGUUAUCAGAUGAAUGAUUCGGAAGACAAACUAAAUUAUUUUAAAUUUCUUUUUAUGUCUUAAGAAUAAAGCAAAAAAAAAACGCUCGACAGAAAGAUGACUAUUUAUGCUCUUUCCAAAACGUAAUUGAUUGGUAUGUAAAAUCUUUUUUACCUUUAAUGAAUUUUUUUGUUCCAUGAUUUUCUCAAUUUUGUUAUAAAUUAUUUGUAUUCUUUCAAACUAAUUAAAAGAAAAUAUAUACAUAACUAAUACAUUAACAAAUUAAAAUAAUGACAUUUUUAAUAAAUAAUGAAAUUGUUGUUAAGGAGUCCCAAGCUAAAUAUUGUUGUUUUGAAAAUUUUCCCUCUAUUUAUUUCUAACAGUUCAUGUAUUAUAACUAUCAAAAUAUUUAAUUUCAGCCUAACUUGUUCGAGAGUUAACAGACUUAAAAAGAAGAGUAAUUAUUUAUAAACGUAGCGGGGAUAGCUCAGUUGGGAGAGCGUCAGACUGAAGAUCUGAAGGUUACGUGUUCGAUCCACGUUCACCGCAUUAUUAAUCUUUUUUUUUUUACUUUCUGUUCUUUUGUUGCAAAAUAUUUACAUUUGAGUUUUACUUUCUGUUCUUUUGUUGCAAUAUUUACAUUUGAGUUUUACUUUCUGUUCUUUUGUUGCAAUAUUUACAUUUGAGUUACCGAAGAAAGUUUAAUUACAUACAAGUAGGGAGUAGGUUAUACCCUUGUUGUAUUGAUUACCACUAACUUUAACUUCUUCAUAUAUAACUUUGCUCCAACUAACACAAUAUAUUUCUGCCUGGGACUAGGAGACACAAUAAGCAAGAACUCAAUAAUUAUUUGCUUCUAAAUUUCUCUCUAUUAGCUAUGUUAUUUCUUUAGAGUUUCUACAACACACAUUUUGUCUUGGGAAAUUUGUUUAAAAUAUAUAUGAUUUUUCAACAUGCAAUCCUUACAUUCAAUUCAUUUCACUACAUUUGAUUAGCCUUAAUGGCUUAGCCCUCUUUUCGAGAAUUAUAUUACUUUCUCUGUCCGGUAUUGUUUGUCAUGAUUUUUAUUUUUGAAAUCAAACCAUAAAAACUUUGACUAACAUUUUAUGAUAUAUUUUUUCAUCAUAUUAAUAUGCAAAAAAUUGCAAUUAUAGUACUUUUCAUAUAGUUUUAGAAUAUCUAAUUUUUUGUUUAAAAUAUCGAACUAAUGUUAUCUAAGUUAACUUUGAAAAUUAGUCAAAUUAACUUUUGAAAAACACAACAUGACAAACAAUUCUAGACGGAGGGAGUAUUUAAUAACUAUUCAUAUGUUAAUUUUUACUUCAUUAGACAUUAUCAACAAAUUCUGAUGUUGAAUUUUAGGAAACAUCUAUAUCAGGUGAAAUGUUCUUGAGAACUUUGUCAAAAUGCACGCCUCGAGCUUUGAAGAAUCUCCAACAAUGUUUGUGAUCAAGUAUUUAAUUUUCUAUAAGAGCUUUCAAUAGUUUUUUAGGUAUUAGUUAUUCGAGUAAUUUCCCUAGAUAGUCAUCCAUAUUUUGAAAAUUAUCUAGGAAUAUCAUUUAUGUUUAUUUUAGGACUAUAAUAUCACUUAACUUUGCCUAUUUUCCUCAAAAUAUACUUAACACCAAAAAAUCCAUUAUUUCUCACCUACUAGGGUACCAUGUCACAUUUUUUAACUUAUUAUUAAUAUUUUACUAAUUCUUUUAAAGAAUCGGAGGAACCCACACAUCUUUUUGAAAAAUCGUAGGAGCUCAUAUCACAGUUCUUAAUGUAAUAUUUUUUAUUGGAUAUAAUACAUGAGUUUGUAUAUUUUUUUUAAAAAAAAAAUCUAUCUAUAUAUAAUAGGAGAAGUAAGAAGUGUCACAUGUCAGCACCACAAAUAUUCAAGAAUCUUAAUUUUUCAAAAAAAACAUUUUAAAUAUGCUCUAAAAAUACAAUUAAAAAAACAAGAAUUUAAAUAUAUCUAUUUUAAAUAGACAAAAAAGUUCUUUUGUAAAAAAAAAAUAUAACGGCAAAAAAUGGAUGAUUUUUAAAUGUCUCUUAUUUCAAUUUUAAAGGAAAAAAUGAAAUUGAACUAACUUUUUAUAUAUGAAAACAGCAAUGGCAGGAAAAAAAAUGAAAGAUCUUUAAAUGGUUCAAAUUUCAAUUUUUAAGGUUAAAAAAUGAAAACUGAAAAUUGAAUUAUUUUAUAAAAAAAAUUGUAAUGUCUAUUUAUAUUUAUCACACUUUCAGUGAUUUUACGGAAUGCUCCAACAAAAUGAAAUGUAGAAAUAUCUAUCUAAAUAGGAAAAGAAAAAGUGCACCAUCAAAAAACUAUAAUUAUUGUUUACACAAUUAAUUAAAAACUUGUAUUAAAAUAUAAUAAUUAUCAUUCAAAAAUUAAAAAACUUAUUUUUAAAAAAUAGUUAAAACAAUCCAUUACUAGUUAUUGUAGAAGGGGGUACUUUUUUCAUUUAUUUUAAAAUUUAUCUUUAUAUACCUAAAAAAUAAAACAUUUUCAAAAAAUAUAAAUAGAAAAAAAUAUUUUUUUAAAAAAACAUAGUGCAACCUAAUGAUUAAAUAGGUUUAAUGCAUAUUUUUUUAAUAAAAAUAAAUAAAUAAUGUAAUAUGGCAUCUUAAUAGAAGAGAGAUAAUAUAUUUUUUGUGUCAAAUAUAGUUCGAAAAAAAUAUAUAAAAUUAAAUAAUAUUAUAGUUCUAAAAUAAACAUAAGUGAUAAACCUAGGUAAUUUCCGAAUUGGAGACUAUCCGAAGAAAUUACUCUAGUUCUUCCUUGUUUGUUUAUCAAACUAGGUGGAUUAGUUUCAAGUUACAAACUCAUGGGUUCUUCAUUAUUUUCUCUAACAUAUAUAAUUACUGUGUCAGAUGAAUCUAUAUUGGAUUUUUUUUAUUUUGUGAAUUCUUAAUGCACCAAAACUUAGUGUACGCAUGCAUGUAGAUGGUAUUUUUCUGUAUAAACAAAAUAAAAAUUAAUUUUGGAUAUAAAGUAAAAAGUUGAUUUUUCAUAUUUGAAAAUUAUUAUGAUUUUGAGUAAAAACAAACUGAUCCACGUGCUACUUUUGAUGUUUGGACAAAGUGAUUUGUAUUGAUGGCAUUUAACUCUUACAUCAAAUAUAACAUCAUCAGAAUUGAUGUUACAAGACGCAUCGUAAAAAUUAAUGACAAUGUUGUUGUAAAAAUUAAAAUUUUAUGAAACUUUAUAAGAUAAGUUUUAAUUUUAAUUGAAAUUUUAUAAGAUUGUAUUUUAUUUUAAUUAGGAUUUUUGGAAGUUAUUUUAUUGCAAAAUCUAGUUCAUAUAUAUAUAAAGAAUAGGAAAAAGGUAUGAUAUAUUCCUUAACUUUGUUACUUAGAGCUAAUAUAUUAUUUGUUAUGAAAGUGACUCAUUUAUAUCCCUACUUAUAAACAAAUGGCUCACGUAUAUCCUUUUCUUCUAACAGAAAUGAAAAAAAUUAAUUUUUUAUUAUAUUUUUUAAAAAAAAUAUAAUCUCAUAUGAGUAAUUUUAAUCCUCGUAAAAAAAAUUAAUUUUUUUUAUUUCAAUGACUAAUUUAGAAUUAUUUUUUGAUAAUCAAAUUUAUUUAUGUUUCACUAAUAUAUUUGUAAAACUUGUUGUAGAUGACCAAAUUUUUUCUCCUAAUACAAAAAUCAAAUUACAAUAUAGACAAAGAAAAUAGUUUAAAUUUUUUUCUUUAAACUAACGAAUGAAAGAAAAAAAAUAAGAACAAGAAACUCAAAUAAUUAUAAUAAAAGAAGUCAAAAAAUAAUUUAUGUAUGAAAAAAAUUAAAAUAUACCUUGAACUUUGAUAAAAGAAUCAUAUAUACCCCUAAAUAAUUUUUUUUAAAAAUAAAAGUAAAAAAUAUAAAUUUAAAAUUAAUUUUUUAACUUCCGUUAAAUGAAUGGUAUAUAUGAGCUCAUUUUGUAACGACAGGGGUAUAUGUGAGUCGUUUGUAUAACGGUAAAGACAUAUAUGAUCCACUUUCAUAACGAGGGAUAAAUCAGCUACAAAUAAUAAAGUUGAGAAAUAUCUCAGACCCUUUUCCCAUAUAGGAUAGUAUAUUUCCUUAAAGAGGGAUCACGAAUUUUUCAUAAAUUUAUGAAAUACUCAUACAAAUCAAAUUAAGAUGUGGUUGAACUCUUCCCGAUAACUAGAUACUUCCAAAAGAUCUAUAAAUUCUCCUUACAUGGAGUUCAAAUAAAUCCCAAUGAAGUCAAAAUCAUCCUACAUUUGAGAAAUACGUGACUAAAAGUUCUCAAAUCACAGAAAAUUUUUAGAGAGAAGAAUCAAGGGAACAAACAGAUUUGUACUCAUAUUAUUUUUUAUCAAAAAAAUAUAUAUUUCUUCGUAUUUUAUUUGCGAUGGUAAUUUAUUACUAUCUCUUAAAAUUUUGUCGUAGGCUCGUUGGGACAAAAUUUAUCUUUCAUUUCUUCUUUUUCAAAUCAAUUCCCAAAUUUAAAGUCAUAAAACCUCAAAGGUGGAAGCUCCAUUUUUAUUAAUACUUUCAAGUCUUUCAAGUCUUGUUUUUGAGUUUCAUCAGGUCUACAUUCCAGAAAGCCUUGAAAUGGAGAGCAUUUUUAGACAUCAAAAUUUUAUCUAUACAAGACGUUUUCUAUAUUCUAGUUAGAAUUUUUGGAGAUUACUUCAUCCCCAACUGUAGUUUAUGCGUAUAUAAAAGAUAGUUUAUUUUCUUGAAGAGGCACCUUAAAGUUUUCAUAAAUUUACAAAAAAAAUUACAAAAAAUCAUAUUAAGAUGUGGUCAAACUUUUAUUGACAACUAAAUGCUUCAAGAAGAUCUACAAAAUCCUCCUUACAUGGAGAUCAAAUAAAUAUCGAAAAUCAUCCUAUCUUCGAGAAAUGAACUAAUAGCAGAAGUUGAUCAUGAAGAAAUUUCAGAGAGAAGAAUUAAGAUAAUACACAGAUUUGUAAUCAUAUUAGUUUAUCAAUAAAAUUAUGUUUUUUCAUAUUUUAUUUGUAAAAUUAAUUUUUUUUAUCUCAAUAAAAUAUAUUGCAAACAGUGAAAACAACAUUUUACCAUACGUGUAAUUAAUUUUAUCUAGAACCACUUAUUCAUGUUGUAUUUUACUUUUUUGUAACAACAUUCUACCUAUAACAAUAAAAUCAUUCAGUAGUACACUCUUUAUAAAAUUACUUGUCUAUGGCAAUAUAUACGCAAAUAUUAUAUAAAAGUAUUUUGUAAAAUAUAUUUAAUUUGUACUCAUCAAUUAUUGUAAUAACUUCACGAAGAAAAGCUAGUUAGUGAUGUUUGCUUUUUAUAUAUCCACACUCGUCUAUUCUUGUUUUGGUUAAACCGAUUAACAAAUAUUUUGUUUUCAUUUAUAACAUCAAAAGUAUAAAAAAUAAAUUUUCACUAUUUUUGUUUAGAAGAAUCUAAUCAAGCUUGUAAUUGUCAGUGUUGUCAACUAGUAAAAAUAUUUGUACGGUGAUAAUCCUGUAAUGCAUGAUGAAUCAUCAAUUGGCAUCAUUGCUUUGAUGAAGUAAUUAAUCCCUUUUUUGAUAUAAAAGAAUUGGCAAAUUGUCAAGUUGUCAAAAAAGAAACUAACACAAAAGGAAAAAGAGAAUACUCACUCAUAUGUACGAUGAUAUUUGUUGAAGUGCCUAAAUUUGGUAUUUUUUUCUGUGUAUGCAAAAAAUGGUUUUACAAAGGCAUCUAAUUUAUCAUCGGGAAUCUUGGAUCUGUUUGGCCCCAAAUAUAUUUGGUAAAAAUUUAGAAAAAGUUUGGAAAGUAGUGUUUGAUCAUAUCAAGUUUUUGUUACUUUGGCAAAUAUAUUUUUCAAAUAUAAAAAGCUUUUUAAAUACUAGGAAAAAAAUGGUAUUCGAUUCUAAGUUCUAAUAUUUGAAAAUUUAAAAAGAAAUAAAAAUUUACCUCAAACUAUUGUAUUUUAUAAAAAAUGUCUAUCAUUUAUUAAUUCCAACGAAAAUUUAUCUAUCAAAUUAUUGCACUAUUAACUAAUAAAUAUUUAUCUUUGCUAUCUAUAUAGAACAUGGCAAAAUUAGAACGAUUUGUUUUUAAUAUAAUUCAUCUUGGAUCAGUGACAAGUUUGAGUAAUCGAUUGAUGUAUUAUUUUUGCUCAUAUUGGUAUUUUAUUGUUGUUGAUUGUCAUUAAUAUGUUACAAGAUUUUUUUUUAGCGGAACAUGUUAAUUAAAAAAUGACAAUACAAACUUAAAGGUGUUUUAAGUAAUUUUUAGAACUUGUUGGUACAAAUUGUGAAAUAAUUAAAUAUUUCUCCUAAAAAUUAUAGUUAAAUACAGAGUGAAACUUCAUCAUAUCUUCUCCUAAAAAUGAUUUGCCGAGAAUAUUUGAAAAUUCGGAGUCAAACACUAGCUAAGUAGCUUAGAAAUUGGUUAUAUGAACUCUCACCUUCUUGGUGGCUCGUUCGAUCACCACGCCAAAUUCUAGAAAAAAUUUACGUUUAGGCAAAGUUCUAAUAUAUGAGAAUUUUUUUUAAAAAAAAAAUAAAUUACCCCAAACUCUUUUAUUUAUAUAUAAAUAAAAUAACAUCCUUUAUCAGUUCCAACUAAUAUUUAUCUGUCAAACUAUUCCAUUAAUAACUAAUAAAUAUUUAUCUUUGCUAUCUAUACAGAACGUGGCAAAAAAAAAAAGAACGAUUUGUUUCUAAUAUGUUAUAAUUUAUCCUAAAUUAGUACAAGUUUGAGGCGAUUGAUAUAUUGCUCUUGAUCAUAUUGUUAUUUUCUUAUUAUUGAUUGUUAUUAAUUAUGUUAUAAGAUUUUUUUAACAUAACAUGUUUAUUAUAAAAUGAUAAUAUAAACUUAAAGAUGUUUUAAAUAAUUUUUAGACUUAUUAGUAUAAAUCAUAUCAUUUAAAAUAAUCAAAUAUUUAUUCCAAAAUCAAAUGCAUAAUGAAAUCUUCACCCAAAAAUAAUUUACUUAAAAUACUUAAAAAUUCUGAAUCAACGACUAACUUAAUAGAUUAGUGUAUGAUUAUCUGAACUCCCAUGAUAAUCCCUUUAUUCAUUUCCCCAUCUUCCUCAAUUUAUUUAAAAAGAAAAAAGAAUCAGAAAUUAUAUUUUAAAGUAAGAGAUCAGAUGUAAGUUUAAUCAAAUAAAGGUCCCACUUAGAUUGUAGGUGACGAUGCACUAAGGUUCAUGCAUCUUUGGGGUACGAUGAUUAUGACUCUAUUGUUUGGAUUAUUCUUUCUAAUCAACUUUUAAUUAAAUAUGCUUUUUGGAAUCAACAUCAUCUCGAAUAGUAAAUACCCACGAAUUAUGCAAUAAUUAACGAAAAAUAAUCAUGGCCGGUGCGUUUAGUACUAACACAAAUUUUUCUUUUAAAAGAAUUAGUUAUUCUCAAAUAUAUUUUUUUAGGAUAUUAGUUGAAGAGUAAAAUAUAAUUUUACUAAAAAAUAUUUAUUAAAAAUUGAUGAUAUUAUACCUCGAAGCCUCUUAGCUAGUUUCACUCGGAAAUAUAGGAGUAUAUGAAACCAGAUUGAUUUGAAUUUUUCAAAUAUCAAAUCAAAUUAUUUUUAUUGAAUUUUUCAAUUUAUGAACAUAAAUGAAUUAAUAAUACUUUUUUUUUUUGAGUUUUUCAACCUCUAAUUUCUUUGAGUUGGUUCGGGUAUUUCAAAUAUCAAAUCAAACUAUUUGUGUCAAAUUUUUAAAUUAAUAAAUUAAACCAAACUAAUAAACUUCGGAUAUUUUUGGUAAAGUAUUUAUAUAUAUAAACAUAUAAUUAACCAGUGCUUCAAAUAUUUUUUUAGUACAACCAUAAUACAAUUAUGUAAGAUGUUUCUUAAGAAGAUAAUACAAAAUAUGAGAUGAGUGAUGAUACUAAAAUAUUUAACCCAAAUUAAUAAUGAAAUCGUAUAAAAUAAAUAUUGCAAAUUAAUAAGUCAUAAUGAAAAUUAUCCUAACUUAAAAGUAUUAAUUCAUGUUAAAAUAAGUCUAAUAAAUAUAAGUUACAUGAUUAAACAAUUAAGAAAAUUUUAAAUAAGGUUAUAUAUUUUAAAUGUCUAAACCAAUGUAAAACUGUAGAACAAAUAUUCAACAUUAUUAUCAGUCUUAGUGUUGAAAUAAUUUUUUUUUUUGUUAGCAUUAGUAUUGCUUUGAUUUUGAAUUGAACUUUAUUAGAGUUACAAAUAUCUAUUGACUAUAACCUUUCUUGGAUCAUUCAAAAUUCUAAGGGGUCGUUCGGUAUGAAGAUUCAUAACGCAUAGAUUAGUAAUGGAGGGAUUAGUAAUGCAGGGUUAUGUAGUGCAGGGAUUAGUAAUGCAGGGUUUAUUUUUAUCAAGUGUUUGAUUCAUUUUUUCCACCUCAUCUUGUGUUUGGAUUAUAGCUCUAUAAAAAAAAUUCUUUCCAAUUAUACCCUUGAAUUAUUAUGUAAUUGGAUCAAGGUAGAUAAUUGUCGAACAAUAUUAUUUUUUUAUAACCUUCUAACUAGCUAUGAGAAGAACAAUUUAGUUGUCCUGUUUGUUAUUUUUUUACUUGAAUUAUUUGAGAGUAAAUAAGUGUCAUCUUAAUAAAUUGAUCACUCACAAAAGGUUAUUUUUUAAUUAAAAAAGAUAAAUCAUCUAUUUUUAAAAUUGAAAAAAGGGUCAACAAUGGUAAAAUUGAAUAAACCAUCUAUAUGUACACAUAAAAUUGCAAGUUUUAGUUUUAAUAUGUAUGUAAAUUUUUCAAAUUGUUUAAACGGACAUGCGCACGCGCGCACCCACCCACCCACCCACAUAUACACACAUACACACACACACACAUUUUUCAUUUAUUGAGAUAGCCGCGUGAUCCCACCAGUAUAUUGUGGUUGUGUAAGAACUACACUUGCACUUAUUCUGUUGAGUACAUGACAUCUUCUGGUGGCUAUUGACAGGCAUUGUUUAGAAGAUCAGUGACCAUUUUAUUUCCAAGGGUAAGUCAAUUCUUCCGAGCUGCUUUGAGUUCUCUUUUGUUUAAAUCCACUCUUUUCGGACAGAGACUAAUUGUUCAAGGUGUGUUUAGUUUUAGAGUUGUACCUCUUGUUCUUAGACUUGUUGUUCGUAGAGUUUUGAUACAAUGACUUUCAGGUUCUAGGGGUAGUAUUUACGUAUACGUGUUAGUUCAUUUGUAUAGUUCCUUGAUAAUUUAUUUUAGUAUUUAAAACUGCUUUUGUGUCAUUAAUUGUCUCAGUUUUGGUUUAGUUGCUUAGUUUAGGUUGUAGUAGUGGUCCUCCCACCAGAUAGUUAGUGUGGGUGUUAAAUCACGACGGUUUAGAUCGUGACAAAAGAUUAGAAAAGUCAAUUUUAAAUAAAAAUAUUAUGAUGAGAAAAAAAUAUUGGGACUCCUCUCUUAAGUUUUGCUUUAAGCCCCUUAUCUUGUUGAGUCGACCCUGGUCUCUACGAGAGCAUUCUUUGGCCCUUGAUACUAGUUUAGGUCUUCUCAUGUCUCUGGAUCCCUCUUACUCCUUGCUUUCCUUUCGUGAUGCUAAUUGGACUUUGCAUAUUGAUUCCCCAGAUUCAUUAGUGGAUACUCUAUCAGAAUUAGGUGGGUCUUACACACUUAUGUUGUGGAAAUCCAAAAAAAAAAUAAGUGUCUAUUUUGUUAAGAUAUGACACCUGACCCAACUCAAGUUCAUAAGCUAUAUUUUCAUGAGGAGAAGAUUGCUCGAAUUUAUAUAAGGAGACCACUAGUCCAUUUCUCAAUAAAUGUGAGACCUUUAACCAUUCUAACACCUCAUUUCAUUCCCAUACACACGUGAUGACAUAUGGAUCGAGAGCUCAAACGAGGAUGAACCUGACUCUGAUAUCAUAUAAAAAUAUGGCACAUGGGCCUAACUCAACCCAAAUAGCAAGCUCAUGAAGCGGGAAGUUUUCCAUUUUGUAUAAGGAGACCUAUAAUGACCUAGUUGGUCAUUUUUGGGUUCAUAAAUUAUCAUUCUGCCCCUCUCGAUAUUGACUCCGAGUUAAUUUUAAUUGAGUUUUGAAUGAUAGUUUCAAACUUUGAGAAAAAAGUUGUGAAUUUUUUUAAGUUUUGAACUUGAACGACUAAAGUUGUUAAAAAUAAUUUUUGGUGUAUUUUGGAGUUUCGAGUAUCGAAAUAAAAUUUUGUCAAUGCCAUCAGUCUUGAAAUGUGAAAUUGGUCUAAGAGAGUUGUUGGUUUCAUAUUCGGAGUCUUUUAAGGAUUUGAGGUCCUAAAUUGAAAUUUUGUGAAAAUUUAAUCUUUGGAUUGACUUCGAUUUGCGUUCAAGGUUUGGAUGCACAGAUCAAAAUUUCGAGAGUUCCGUUUGAUUCGAGGAAUAAUGUUAGGUCUAAGUGAGGUCUUGAUUGAAUUUUCAGAGGUUCUAGACCUUAUUUGACCUUUUUAGGCGUUAUAUUAAUUCUUUGUGGCUUUCACAAGUUUCGAAUCAAAGAUACCUCAAAUUCCUUCUUUGAUGGUUCAUCAAGUCUGGAACGCCGGGUAUAGUCAAUUUGCAUAUAUUAUUUGUGUGUACUGAAUUACGAAUCUUUAGGAUCUUUUCGAUUAUUUUUGUGUUGGCUGAUUUGCUAAGGUUUGAUAUUAACUACCCCUCGCUAUUGCGAUAGGAUGUUCGCUUUCACGAACCUCGCGAUUGAGAAAUUCUGAUCGUGAAAGCGAGAUAGGUGGAAUUCCAGACCUUCGAUCGCAAAGGGCUUGUUCACGAUUGCUAUCUUCGUGAAUGUGAAGGCUCUGCAAAGGCGAAGGCCGAGUUGGAAAGAAAAUUCAAAUAGUUUUAUUUGAUAGGUUAUGAGUCACGUAACUAUUUAAAUUCAAAGACAAAUGGCCGUUUGAAGUUAACCCAAGUAGAAUCUUAAAUCUAAAGUUAAUUGGUAGGUAUGCUUUUAACUUAACUCAACUUUGUGCUAAGGAAUUCUAUUGACCUUAAUUCAUAUCAAAAUUCAUUUUCACACUAAAGAAUUGAGUUUUACAUAUGUUGACAAAUUUAAGAAACACCCAAUACGAUUUUAAAUGUAAAUGAAGAAAAGUUCGAGUCUUAGAAUUUUGGGUUGACGUAUCAAUAUUAACAAGGUUACAAAGGAAGAAAUACAUAGAAGUUUAUCUUUGUCUGUUCCUUACAACUUGGGUCGGGUUCAUGUUAUUCCAGUAUUGGACUUGGUCAAGUUUAUUCUCAAAUAGUCCACACAAAACAAAGCAACUAUUGAAGAAGUGUCCCAAACAAUGAGUUAAUACCUCAGAUGGUCACUCAACUAUGCAGUAUUCUCUCAGAAAGUCAUUCAAUUUUCAAUUUUCACUCAAAAGUCACUCAACUAUGCACUUCUUUCUCAGAAAGUCACUCAAUUUUGAAUUUUAACUCAAAAAUCACUCAAUCUAUUAAAUUAUUUUUUAAUUGAAAUUUGUUGAUAUUAAUUAUUUAUAUAACAAAUCAAAAAUCUUAAAAAAUAAAUUAAACCAUUUAGUGAUCCAUCAACCAAACCCGACCCAUUAAAAAAUAUGAUAUGACCCAUUUCAUUGUCUUUGAUCCUAAAUUAAUCCCUCUCUUUAAACCUUGAAUUAGGAUUAAAGACAAAAUAAAAUGGGUCAUAUCAUAUUUCUUAAUGGGUCGGGUUAGGUGGAUGGAUCACUAAAUGGUUUAAAUUGUAUUUUUAUUUUUUUAAAAUUUUGGUUUGUUAUAUAAAUAAUUAAUAUCAAUAAAUUUUAAUUAUAAAAACAAUUUAAUAGAUUGAGUGACUUUUUUAGGAAAGAGUGGAUAGUUGAGUGAUUUUGAGUUAAAAUUCAAAGUUAAGUGAUUUUCUAAGAAAGAAGUGCAUAGUUGAGUGACUUUUGAGUGAAAAUUAAAAAUUGAGUGACUUUCUGAGACAAGAGUGCAUAGUUGAGUGACUAUCUGAGGUAUUAACUCUCCAAACAAUUUGACCGCAACCUUUUGGCUAUAUAAUUUUGGUUUUAUAACUAUAUGUUUAAGAGUCAAAAGUUGGUAGUGGUAUCUAAUCAAAGAGGACAACUUGGUAAUGAUGAAAGACGUCAGCAUGAAAUUAGAUAUUACAAUUGAUAAAAAAGAGUUGUUGCAACUAGGCUAAAUAUUUGGGUGCAUGUACGAUGUUGUAUUCUUUUAUGUCAUCACCCUCCUAGUUGUUUCAAUUGCAUCACCUCCUAAAUAUUCUUAUUUUUUUUAUUGUAUUUAUAUACUUAUUAUAUAAAUUCAACCCCAAAAUUAUUGAUUGCUAAUGAAUCACAAACGUUUCUCAUUAAAGUAUUUGGAAAUAUUUAGAAAAACUCAGAUAGAGAAAUACGAGUUAAAUUAAAGUAUCAUAAGAUUGAGGAAUAUUAUUAAAUUAUUCAAUUUCUCUUGGUUCAUGUAUGAAGUUUGUUAGCCAACUUGCCUCUUAGCACUCAAUUGAAUUUGAACAAGUGUUUAAAGAUGGACAACUUUCACAUAUAGCAAACAAAAAAAUUAUAUUUGUAUAAUAUAGCAAACUUUGCAUAAUUGCGCUCCAUAGCAAACAUAAAAACUGUAUAAUUUGCUAUACAUAUAAAAGUGUAUAAUUCGCUGGCCUAUUUCGCUGCAAUUGUAUAAUUAGCUUGGCAUACAGUAGAAUCGAAUUAAAAUGUAUGUAUAUUACAUAAUUAUAAGUGUAUAGCAAGAAGAUAUAUGUUUUUCUCGCUUUAUACAAAAACAUAAACACAAUAUAUACACUUUUGUUGUAUAAAGCUAGAAAAAAAUUAUAUUUCACUGCAAUUGUAUAAUUCUUUGGCCUUUUUCUCUGCAAUAUUUGAAGUAAAAUGUUUGUAAAUUAUAUAAUUAAGUGUAUAACACGAAGAUAUACAUUUUUGCAUGUGUAUAUACAAUUUUCUCUCGCUUUAUACAAAACAGAAACAGAAAUUAUACACUUCUGUGUAUAAAGCGAGAGAGGCGAGAAUGGGAGAGUGGCGAGCGAGACUUCUGGGAGAGAGACGCCUGGCAAAUUUUUGCCAACGUUUGCUAUGGAGCACAAUUAAAUCAAACCCUAGCUAUUCCAUUUAAUUUAGGUUAUUAGUUUGCUAUUUUAUACAAUUUUCCCUUUAAAGAUAGUACAGGUUAAAAUAACUAAAUAAUAAAAUCGCAAGGAACUUAUUUGUAAGAAAUAAAAAGUAGACAGGUAGUUAAACAAUAUAUAUUGAAAUAUCAAAUACAAUAGCCCUCAGCUGCGAAGGAAGUAAUAUAUUUUUUAGAAAAUUUAGUUAACUAGUCAAAAAAAUUAACUUAUUUAGUGAUAAUAUUCAUAAUUUAAUAAUAUUAGUAAACAUGUCAAAAAUGUCAUUAUUUUAAAAAUAAAUAAUAAUUCUGAUAUUAUUAAUAUUUUCUCUCUCAUUAUUUACACCUUUUUUUCUCUCUCAUAGAUUACACAUUUUCCUAUAUUUAUGUAAUUGGAUAGAUAUUAAUGUCAUUUUAAUUUUUCUCUCUUUUCUUAAGCUUAUCAAUUACUCUCUUUUACUUUCUUCCUAAUCAAAUCUCCAGAUUUUUCUCUCUUUUCUUACGCUUCUUUUCAAUUUCUCCCUCUAACAUUCUUUCAAAUCAAUUCCACAGAUUUUCGAUUCAAUAUAUUAAUAUUUUCUAUUAUUCUCAUUUAAUUUCAUUGCAAGAUUUGAUUUGAAGAUUAACAUUGAUUUGGAUAGUAUGUUUUUCAGAUUACUUAUUUAUUUACUUACUGAUUUUAGUGUUUUUUUUAAAUUUUUUUUAAUUUUGUUGUUGUUCUUAAAACAUUUUUUAGGGUUUGAGACUACAUAAUUCUCUCUUCAAUGGACGUUUUCAAGAGAGUUACUAAAGGUAUUGGACAAAGUAAUCAAAGUUCUUUCGAUUUUUCAUCAUUUAAUUUUUUUUUCACUCAAGAAUUAAACAACAAUAUGGGUUCCACUUCUAAAUAUAAGGAGGAUAUACGACGGGAAAAAAUGUCUGAAUCCAUCGAUGUGCAAAAUCACACACAAAUUCAUAACCAUGAAGUUGAAGAAAACCAAUUUGUUGGAGAAGAGGUAUUUUUUUGUAUGUUCUGUGUCUUGCAUGUUUAGUUUAAUUUGUUUAGUAAUUUUUAAGAUUAAAAAAAUUCAUGUUACAAUGUGUUUGGAAGUGUAUAUGAAAUUUUUAUUAUGUUAUAGUUAGUAUUUAUUUUUGUAUUUCAUAUAUUUACUGUAUUUUAUGUUCUGUUUUUUUUGUGUGUUAGUUAUGUCAAUGUAACACAUUAUAUGAGUUUGACUGUGUAUAUUUCAUAGUUUUAUGGUUUUUUGUAUUCAUAGAUUUGAAAAUGUAUAUUGAAUUUUGUUGAUGCUUUAGUCGGUAUGUAUUUUUGUAUUUCAUGUUUUAUUGUAUUUUCAUAGAUUUGAAAUUGUAUUUCAUAUAUUUAAUUAAUUUUGUAUUAUUAUUUUUUUGUGAUAGUUAUGUCAAUGUACCACAGUUAGUAUUUAUUUUUGUAUUUCAUAGUUUUAUUGUUUUUUAUAUUCAUAAAUUUGAAAGUAUAUAUUGAAUUUUGAUACUGUUUUAGUUGGUAUGUAUUUUUACAAUUAAUAAUUAUAUUCAUUCAAAAAUUAUGUUGCAUUGUUUCUGAAUUUGACAUUUUUUUCUAAUUUGUAUUUGUUCUAAAGAUAUGUCAACUAGUUAUGUAUUUUAUUUAAGAAUGAUUACACCAAAUAUUCAAUUAUUUCUUUUCAAUUUUAUAUUCAUUCACUUUUUCAUCACACUAUUUUUUGUAUUUUAUAUAUUAUUAUACAAAAUUCUAAAUAAAAACUAGAAUAAAUAGAAAUACAAAUAAAAUACAUAUUGAAAUGAAUACAUACAAAUUUUUGAAGAAAAAAAUAACUAUAUAGGGAAAAAAAUAUAUGAAUACAAAUAUAUUUCUUAAAUGACUAUAUAGAUACAUUCGGCAUAUCUAUUGGAAUGAAUACAAACUAAUAAAAUAAUAAUAAUAAAUAAAUAUAAAUAGAAUAUAUUGUGGAAUGACUAUAAUUUUAAAAAAGUAAAAAUUCUGGAGACAAAAAAAGAACAAAGUUUAUAUUUUAUUUGAAAAUGUAAUUGAUGAAAAAAUUAAGUGAUCCUUAACUUUUUUGAAAUAUUUUCUCUCUUGAUUUUCUCCCUUUUGUUAUUAGAUAAUUAUAUUCUUUAAAUUAAAACAAAUAACAAAAACAUAAAUUAGAUAUAUAAUAAACUAAAAUUUGAUAUUUUUAUUAAAUAUUAAAAGUGAUGCUAAUGAGCCCUCUUAAAUAUUAAAAUAUUUACAUUUCAAAAAAUUUCCCAUAAUUUUUUCUAUAAUAAGUGGCUAACUGCAAAAUAAUACACCAAUUGGUAUAUCAAAUUAUACUACAAGAUUUAAAAUACAAACAACACAUUAUAUAAAGUAAAGUCAUAUUUCUACAAUCAUAGCAUAGACAAUGUUUUUUUUUUAAUUCAUAUAAAAUUUGGUUUAUAAAACAUUUGUAUUAAGCAAUAUCAUUUAUGAGGCAUCAUGUCAAUUGAAAAUUUAAUAUUCUCUAGGUUCCUAAUUAUUUGUUCACUUUUUUUGUGUAGUUAUUCUUAAGUAUUUGUCCAUUCUGACAAAUCAAAAAAAGAUUAAAAAAAUUACAUAUUAUAUUCUUAAUUAAUUACUUUGAAAAGGGUAGAACUUCUUGCAAUCUUAAAUUUUUAAUUCAUUCAUUUCAUAAUUAAUAUGGAUAAAAUGGUAAACUCAUUGUAUCAAUCACUGUUCUCUUAAUAGGUGUGUUAAUUCAAAAGUGGACAAAUAAUUAGGAGCCUAAAUCAAUCCAUCACAAAUUAAUAAGGAGACAGUGAGUUAUAUGAUUAAGGAUGAAGCCGCAGGGUCAUCUUAACUCCUAGAUCAUUAAAGUCAUCACUUGGGGUCUCAUAUUUUUUUUGGGUCCCAUUAUUUCAAAACAUUGUUGGUAUUUUAUAAACAGAAAUGAUAUGUACUAUGAGUAUCAUGAUUUCUACUACGGAAAUUGUAUAUGAGAUGAAUAUAGAAACUGAAUUUUGUAAGAAAUAAUUUGACGAAGAUAUUGAUUAGGUAAAAUCACAAAGUCCCUUCAAGAAUCUUUUAAAGUUUAUAUAUAUAUAUAUAUAUAUAUAUUAUUUUUUUGAACUAAAAGUGUCGAUAGAAAUAAUACAAAUAAAAGAUAAUGAUCUAAUGAAAAUACUCAAUCAAAUAAAAAGACUUGAUACUUUUCCAUAUAGACAUAUUUGCUUAUAUAAUAAUGUUGACAGUUCCUAUAACUGUUGCCUCAGUCGAAAGAAAAUUUUCAAAAAUAAAGCUGAUUAAAUCUUAUUUCAUAUCAACAAUUUGUCAAGAGAGAUUGAAAGGGUUAACUAUAUUAUCAAUUGAAAAAGAAUUACUAAAACAAAACGAUUAUAAAACAAUAAUUAAUGACUUUGCAUCUACAAAUCUAGAAAAAUAGAUUUUAAAUAAAAGUAUGUAUGAAUAGUAUUAUGAAAAAAAAUAUUAGGACCCUUCUCUUAGGCCUCCAAUCUUUUCGAGUAAGUCCUAGAUGAAGGAGUACUUAUUAAUCCACCACAAUCCUUGUUGAUAUAGUUAAGAUUAUUGCAUACAAAUAAUGACUAAAAUAUUUCUUCAUUAUUACAUAUUGUUACUUUUAUGAAAUCACUAGGGGUGUACAUAACCAGAUUAGCUUGGAUUUUUCAAAUAUUAAAUCAAAUUAUUUGUAUCGAAUUUUUAAAUUUACAAAUCAAACAAACCAAUAAAACUCGAGUUUUUCAACUUCGGAUUUUUUCGAGUUUCUUCGGAUUUUUUGAAUUUUCGGGUUUUUUCGAUAAAGUAUUCAUACAAACAUAUAAUUUACUUGUAGUUCAAACAUUUCUUUACUCCUACUAAAAUGCAACUAUCUAAGUUAUUUCUCAAGAAAGUAACACAAAAUAUGAUAUGAUUAAUGAUACUAAAAUAUCCAACGAAAAAAUAAAUAAUAAAAUCGCGUAAAACAAAUAUUGCAAAUUAAUAAGUCAUUGUGAAAUUGAUCAUAAUUUAAAGUACUAAAUUAUGCUAAAAUAAGUUUAGUAAGUAUUAGUUACAUGACUAAAUAUUAAAAGAAAGUAAAAUUAGAUCAUAUAUUUUAAUUGUCUAAAUCUAUGUAAACUAAAAAACAAAUAUUCAAUAUUAAUGUCAUUCUUAGUGUUGAAUUGAUUUUCUUUUUGCAUUAAUAUUAAUUUGAUUUUUAUUUAAACUUUAUUAUAAUUACCAACAUGUAUGGACUAUAAUCUUUAUUAGAUCAUUAAGAAUUUUAACUUCCAAACAUGAAAUAAAUAUAUUAAAAGAUAAAAACUAUGAAAAAGUAUAAGAGAUAUUUAAAAAUUAUAUCAAAGUAAGUAUUUUUACGUUUAAAAUAAAAAUUUAAAAUUAUAUAUAUAUAUAUAUAUAUAUAUAUAUAUAUUGUCGGGUUGGUUUGAUUUCGGGUUGGUUAUUUUUAGUUGAAACCAAACCAAUCCAAAUAAAGCCAAAUUUUUUCAACACUAAACCUAGUCAAAUCAAACCACUACUCGAAUUUUUUCGAUUUAACUAAAUUUGCGAUUUAAUUCGAUUUUUGGGUCGAUUUUCUACACCCUAAAUGUUAUCAUUAAUGAUUGUCCUACUCUAUUUGUCCUAAUUUAUUUGUCAUUUUAAAAAAUUUUAAGAUUCAAAUUAUGUUACUUUUGAAAAAUAUCUUGUAACAUUUUUUUUUUAACUGUCAAUAUAAAAAAAAAUUGCAACUUAUGAUUCUUUUUUCAAUGAUUUUUAUAAUUAAUUUCAAUUUUAAAGAUUAUGUUAAUCUAAUUUGAUUUAGAUUUAAAAUUUAAUAAAAUUGACUCUCGAUAAAUUGAAGGUAUCACACAAAUUAACGUAUUUGUGUUUGUUUAUCUAAUUAUUAAUAAUAGAGAUGAUUUAUUCAAGAAAACUAUAACUUUUCUAACGAGGAAUGAAAUGAGAUUAUCAAUUAUAAAAACAACUUUCCCAUGUAAUUGUAAAAAAAAAAAAAAAAGGAAUCAAAAAGGUCCGAAAGAGAAUGAACAAAAAUUUAGUGAGGUACUUUACAAAUUACUGAACAGUUAUAUUUAAUCAUGAUUACUUAAAAGACACUAUAAAAAUGCAUAAUAAGAUUUGGGAGCAGUAAGUAAGGAAAGAGAUUUACAUGAUAUUUGAGGGUUACGUUGAAUUACAAUUCAUUAUUUAGUUUAUCUUAAUUCAUUUUAUCUUCAGACAGAAUUGAGAAUUAGUCAAUUUAUUUCUUUAGUUCAUUUUUAUCUUUUCAAAUUAUCUAUUCGUGUGAAAAAAAUUAGAAUUUUGAACUUUUUUUUUAUUUCUUUCCAAUAAAAUACCAUUGAAUUUAAGUUUUUCUUCCCAUUUUUGGAACUAUUGACGAACUUCUCUCAUUGUGAGAAAAUUAUGAAAAUAAUUCAGCAAAAUAUAUUACUAAAAAACAACGCAUUGUUUAUGAGUGAAAAUCAUUUACAUCCUUCGAUUUAACUUCUUUUUUUUUUAAAAAAAAAAACUCCUUAAUUAUGAACAAUGAAACAAUCUCCCCCUUUAAUUAUGAACAAUAGAUAUCCCCUCCCUCUUUCUAACGUGUGUCUAAGAAGCCAUUUACGAAUAUAUGAGUAAUAAUGUCUUGAAACGCAGCCUACAAAAGUCUAAAACAUAGUAAAUGACAUAAAGAUAACAUAAGGGUGUUGUCCUCGAAUGCUAUGAGGACUCAUCAAUCUUCAAUCUUCUCCAAACUUAGGAACCUAGCCUACAAACACUCAAUCUCCCAAAAAACCCUACAUUUGGUUAGAAAUGUAGGCAAUAUGCGUACAAACACUCAAUCUUCCAAAAAACCCUACAUUUGGUUAGAAAUGUAGGCAAUAUGCGUUAGUACAAAAGUACUAAGUAAGAAAGCUAAUAUAUAAAACAUAAUAUAUCUCGAAGGGUUGGUCAAUAUAAGGCAUAAUCAUUAGAGAUAAUAACAUAAUCACAAGAUAAUUACGACAUACGCAUUCUAACAUAGUAAUUCAACUUAAGACAUACAUAGGUUCAUACUUCAACUAUUUGUCCUUCUUACUCAAGUGAACUACAUCACAAGCCACCUCUAAGUAUACUUGUGCAAGUCCAAGGUGGCAUCCCAUACUACUACCUAAGCUAAGUACCUCUCUUUGGUCAUUCUUGAUCAUAAUCCACUUGUAUAAUUAAUACCUAUGUCUCUAUACGGAGGCAUGCCAUACAAAUCAUUUGAAAAAACUUCAUUGAAUAUGGACACCACCGUAAUAGACCCAAUAGAUGGAGUUUCAAUCUCAACAUCCCUUACAUGAGCCAAAUAAGUUGAACAACCUUGCUCUUUUAAUUUCCUAGCUCGGAUGGAGAAUAUAAUCUUAGCUUGUUUAGGUUGUGCACCCCUUUCCACUCUAAUUUUUUCCUUCCCAAAAUUUCUAGAGUCUCAUAUUUAGUAUUUACAAUUAAAAACAACAUAAUGGGGACACAACCAAGUCAUGCCUAAGAUUAUGUCGAAGUGCUCCAUAUCAAAAAUCACCAAAUCAGCCCAAGUCUGAAAUCCCAUAAACAAAUUAGGGCAAACACAAUACACAUGUGUGACUAUGACUGACUCGCUAACAGAGGUAGAAAUACGUAUAGGGUCAUUAAUAAUAUCACCUAACAUCUCAAAAUUAGAGGCAAAUCUCACAGACACAUAAGAAUAGGUGGAAUCUGAAUCAAAUAAUACAUUAGCCAUUCGAUCCCAGACAAUAAUAGUACCUGUGAUCACUUCAUUAGACAUCUCUACCUCGUUCUUUCCCAAAAAGGCACAACAUUGAGCUCUAUCAUCAACAGGAGUCACCUCAUUGCCUAGUUGCGUGUUACCUCUACCUCCUUUAUCAUUUUCUCUACUUCCACGUCCUCUCAGAUUUCCUCCAUGUCCUACUUGUGGACGUCCCCUGCCAUUAUUAUCAUUUCUCGUGGGUACAAUUGCUCGAGAAGGUUGUUGUACAGAUUCAAGCAAACACGCUUGUGGGCAAUUCUUCAUCAUGUGUCCCAGUUCCCCACAUCUAAAUCAAGUGCGGCCGCCAGAUGGUUUGCUGCCUGCCAUAUGCUCAACACUCUGAUCAACUUAAAAAUUAUUAGAAUGAGUCCUCAAAUAGUUACCAAAAGAGGGGCAUGGCAGAUUAAAUUGGCUUGGAUGCGAAUGUAGGUCGACCGAAUCAUCUACCAUAGGAGCCUUGAAUAUUUCCAGAAUUCUUGGUCCUCUUAGCCAAUGCCUUAUCUUGACUAGAUCGUUUCACCCCCUCCGCCUUCUUAACAUAAUCAGUCAUUUCAGUGAAGCUCCUUCUCACAAAAGUUAUGUGAACGGAUGACACUUGUAGCUCAGAAUCCAAACCUUUAAUAAACAACCAGAUCCUAUCAUCUUCAGUGGUAACCAAUUGUGUAGCAUAUCUAGAUAAAGCAUGGAACUUGGCUUCAUAUGCAGCCACAUAUAUUUAAUCCUGUUCUAAUGUCAUAAACUCAUCCUUCUUGCAAUCUCUCAAAGUUCUAGCUAGGCACAUACUUCUCUAAAAGAAAGGGCAUGAAAUUUGGUCCAAGUAACUAGAGGUAAUGUAGAUGCUCAGCAUUACAUAUAAGCUCUCCACCAUUGAUUGGCUUCACCUUGAAGUUGAAAUGACACGAACUCAACCCAUGUUGGUGAGUGAUACCCAAGUAAUGAAACCUCUCAUAACAAUCCAAUAUGAACUCAUAAGCAUCUUCUGUCUCAGAACCAAAAAAUAUCGGGGGCUUGAGCUUCAAAAACUUGGUCAACAUAUCAUGCUCCUUACCGAUCAUCACAGAACCUAACAAAUGAUGGAAGAAAGCAUCAUUACCUACCUCGCCAACUGGCUUGGGCACAACGUUAGCAACAUGAUGAUUCGCUUGGACUUGAGUAGGUGUAAUCAUCUCCGAACCAUCCAACCCUUUCAAAAAUGACAUAAUUUGUUGAGCUUACGCCAGAUCAAUGGGAGGGAUUCAUGUAACUUCAGCGUGCCCUUCUUCCUCGUUUUCAACCUCCUCGACAUUCUCAAACUCAACUUCCUCUUCUAUCUCUUCGUUAUGUACCAGAGGGUUCUCAUUUACCGAAUAUAAUCGUUUGGCACCUCAUUCACAAUAGGCGCCACUCUCCCACGACCUCUUCUCUUAACUCUUUCUCUACCUCUGCCUCGACUGCGAGCUCUCAUUGCGGGUUCCUCAGUUGGAGAAUUAGAAGAAGCUACAUGACUAACGUUGUUAUACCUAGUAUUAACCAUUUGUGAUAGAAUAGUGAAGGAAUUUAUAUACUAAUCUGAAUCGCUAGAUACCAAUUGGAAUGUCAUAGAAAGAAAGAGAUAAAGAGAAAAUGGAGAUUUUGUAAAGUCCUAUAGCCUCUUCAAGAAAAGUAAAGGAGUCCUCGUACCGUUCUACAAGUCUCUAUUAGACUCGUUUCUGUACAUCGAGAUCAAAACCUAGGCUCUGAUACAACCUUUUUCACGACCCACAUCAUCGUGAUUGACAUCCAGACUACAACUCGGUGGGAGAACCACUACUAACAACCAACCAAAGCAAUAAAUCUAAAACUAAAGCACUUAAGUUACGGAAGUAAGUUAAAUAACUAAGCUAAGUUUCAUUAUUAUUUAAAGAUCUAACAACUAAUAAUAGUGCGGAAGAUAAACCUAGAAUCUAAAAGUUAAUGUACCAAAACUAGAAAUGAGAUUCAAAUCUAACAACAAUUUCUAGUGAACUAUCUAACUAACUAAAAGAAGGUCUAGUCCGAAAAUGGUGGACAUAGACUAAAGAGAAUUUCAUGGCAGCUCGAACGAUGUGGCUCACCCUUUAACUCGAAUCGAUCAUCGAUAUUCUAAGCGAGGCUGUCAAUAGUCGCGUGAAGAUGACCUGUACUCAACAAAAAUAAGAGCAAGUGCUGAAUAAAUAUACAACCACUGUGUAUUGGUAGGAUCACGCGGCUAUCCCACUAGUGUAACAUAAACAGACAAUUACAACAUUAUAACACAUGCAUAAAUAUUAAUAUUCAAUACUAUCAUAUGAAUCAACAUCAUAAUUCACAUGCUUCAUCACAUAGUUGGUCCUCUCACGUAACCCAAAGUCAAACGGUUAGCAUGCCGGAAUUGACAAUCCAAUCCAAUUUCUUAUGUUGAAACAUGUCAACCGAUCCCAAUUAUCAUGUCAGAACGUGGAAGUUCGAAUCCAGUUAGCAUGCCAGAACGUGGCAGGCGAUCCCAAUCACGCAUCAAAAUAAUACAUCAAGAUCACCCAUUCAAUCAUGAUUUCAUAGUAUCGAUAUUUAUAUAUCUUCUUUCAACAUCUAUGAGCAAUAUUGUGAUAUGCAUACAUAUACAAGUAUCACAACGAAAAAUAAGUGUAUAUUAUACAAUCAUAUAAUCACAAUCAUCACUUACCUCGAAAUAAUCUUGAAACCCUACACAACUUAAUCCUUCCCUUUUCGGAUUCGUUCCUCUUGUUUGUGGUCUACAACUAACAAUUUAUAUACGGGAGUCAAUAAAGAAACACUAAAUUCCCAGAAUACUAACAAACUAUGAGCCCUAGUUCAAAUCCAUGAUCCCAACUAGUCAAUUUAGGGUUAAUUCCACCAUAGGAUUCUUCAAGAAAUACUUCGUCAUCUAUAUUGACCCACUCUAAAACAUUUUACGAAUCGAAAGACUAAUUUAGAGGGUGAAAAACUUACCUCUAGCUCGAAGAAUGGUGAAAAACGAGUUGGAAAAGCCCAGAGAUGGUCGUCUAAGGAUUUUAUUUAUGAUUUUAAAACCUGUCAUCCCGCUACAGCGACACCCAUCCCACUGUAGCGGCGUCGCUACAACAACACCAAUUCCGCUGCAGCAACACUUUUUGAACCAAGAGCUCCGUCUUGAAAAUUUUCAAAACUCCUAUAAAUCAAUCUCCGCCUCAUCCGCUACAGCGAUAUCCACCCCGAUAUAGCGGCAACGCUGCAAUGGAAAGAAUCUCGCUGCAGCGGCACAAAGCGAGUUAUUGAGCUCCUAAGGGAUUUUCAAUUUCCGUUUUUCAUAACAUAAUCUUAACCCACCAAACUCAGAAAGUACCCUUAAUGUUACGAUCGAUUCCCAGAGGUCUAUUCGAUUUCUCAAAGUUGUACGGAUCCCCUAUCGAGUUAUCUAGCCGAUUAUGUAAUCGAAUUCCUAUUUACUCCACCAUAAUGCUAGCAGAUUUCCCUAAACCUUGAUACUCCAAUUUCUUCCAAAUCUAGACAAGGUUAGAAAAAAAUCUAGUACUACGAAAAAGUUUAUCCGACUUCGAUCCCCCCCCCCCUCCAAUUAACAUUUCUAUAACGAUGAAACGUGAUUGUUAUACUCCAAUUAAUCAGCAUUUCUCACUUUUAUUUUUGACAAAAUUUAUAUUUUUAUAGAAUUUUUAAAAACAUAUUAUUAAAUAAUAAAAAUACUAUGAUUAGAAAGUAUUAUAACAAUAAAGAUAGAUCUUGAUAAUACAAAGGUGAAAUUAAUAUUUGGAAAAUUAAUUAUGCAAGAAAGGGAAAAAUGAUUAUUUCUUAAAAUUGAGAAGAGUUUAAUUUUUAAAAGUAAAAUUCAGUUAAUGUUAUAAAAAAAUUGUAUUAUAGUGAAUGUCUAAUUAUGUGGAGUCCUUUUAGGAUAUGUUAGAAAUCCUACUUGGGGAUAAAGUUAGGUUUCCCCUAUAAAUAAAGGGGUUUUCGUUCAUUGUAAAGAAGAUCCAUGAAUCCUGAAUAUACUUCUAGAUGAAUAAGAAGUCUUUUCUCUUCUUCCUACUUUAUUCUUCUUCUAAAUUUAUAUAGUUUCAUAACACAUUAUCAACACGAUUGUUCUAUUCUUAAAGAAUUAUGAUAGAAGACAGGAAAAGUGCAAAAGAGAUCUAGCAUAAGUUAUGAAAUAAGGUUCUUAAAUAUUCAAGGUGUGAUUUAUCUAUAUGUUAUAAUUAUUUAUGUGACAGAUCGGAGUUACCAUCUGGAGUAAGUAUUUAAAGAGACUUGUGGACUUUUUAUACGUUUAAUUUUAAUCGAUUGGAAAGAGAAUUCCUUAAUUUAUUUUCAUAACUAAAUAAACACAAUUAGUGAAAGGUAGGCUUUCAAUCUUUAUGUGAGGUAUGUGAUCUAUUAAGUUAUAUUUAUUAAAUACUAAUGUUGAUUAAUAAUAAAUCAAUAAUCUCAAUUUUGUGUGUAAUUAUAAUAUACGAUCAUAUUAAUGAUCAUCAAAAGUGAUAAAAUUACAAUUAUUUUGAAGACUUGAGGUUGAGCCUCAUUGUGGGUAAGACGGUGAAUAAGUUUUAUUGCACCAAAAGAAUAAGACGAUGGAUUUACGUUCAAUCGCACCAAGAGGGUAAGACAUUGACUUAAAGUCUUGAUGCACCACAAUGAGAAGCUAUUGGGUUCAAAUUCUAUCGAUAUAUUUAUGGCCUAAGACAUUUUUUGUAUGGAUAAAACAUUGAAUUUGAGUCUUAAUGCACCAUAUUGAUGAUAUAAUAAUGACUAAAGAAAAACUAAUGUCUUUUUUAUGAGAAGUCAUGAAAUUUACUGAAUUUGCUCCAUUACUAAAGCGAAUGUGGUAGUAGUGCAUAUAUGUCUAAAAGAAGUCAAGUGACUGAAUAAUGCACAUAAAUAUGGAGUGAGGUACUAAAACUAUCAUAAAUUGAUAUGCUCACAUUUUUGUGUUCCAUUCAUAAAGAAUGAGAACUUUUGAUAAAUGUUAAAGAUAUAGAUUCAUUUUCUAAAGUGAACGAGGUGUAAGCCAAUUGAGGCACAUUCUAUACUAAUUACAAUACUGUCUUACUUUUACAUGAUUGUAUGGGACAUCAUAAGGCAAAUUAUACAUAAUUAAAAUGAACAUUCAUUAAAGAAUUUAAAUAUUCUUUUUAAUGGUGAAUUUUCUUAUAUUGUUUGUUAUCAAGGCAAGUUGAUUGUGAGACCAUCAUCAGUGAAAAUUGUGAUUGAAUCCCAUGCGUUCUUGGAACUAUACAUAGGGAUAUUUAUGGACUUAUUCACUUACCUAGUGGGUUGUUUAGAUACAUCAUGGUCCUAACAGAUGAUCCUUCUAUAUGGUCUCAUAUGUGCCUAUUGUCAUUUUGCAAUUUGGGGUUUGCAAAAUUAUUGGCACAAAUAAUAUAAUUACAUGCACAAUUUUUCGAUAAUCAGAGUAGUUCAUUCAGUGAUGGAGUCACGACUCACCUCUAGAAGGGGUAGAAUUAAUGAGAAGAAAAAAUCUAAAAAUUACUCUCGGAGUAAUAAAAUUAAAAUAUACUCAUAUAAUAGUAACUUAGAAAUUUACUAAAGCAAAAAGACACAUGACAUAGUAAAACUUGGAGUUUACGAGUACUAAUAAUUAUUAGUUGGCAUGAAUAAUUUGGUCAUCCCAAAAAUGUGCAUACUGAGUAAUAGACAUACAUUGAAGAAUUAGGAGAUUCUUCAAGAAUUCUUUUUGUUGCUUGUUCUCAUGAAAAGUUGAUAGGAUCAACUAAUGUUGGGACUAAAUCCCUAAAUUCUGGAAAGUAUAAAGAUGAAUAUGGGCUUAUUCACCUAUUAUGUGAUAUGAUAAAGAGAUACUAUGACGGCACUCAUCUCGCUGUAGCAGUGUCAAUGCAGCGACACCUUUUGAACCAAUGAGCUAUGUCUUGAAAAAUUCCAAAAAUCCUAUAAUUCAAUCUUCGCCUCGUUCGCUACAGCGACACCAAUCCUGAUGUAGCAGCGUCACUGCAGCGACACGAAGCAAGGCAGUAAGCUCCUGAGGAAUUUUCAGUUUCCAUUUUUCACAACAUACUCUUAGCCCAUUAUGCUAGAAAGUACCUUUAACGUUACAGUCAAUUUCCGGAGGUUUAUUUAUCCAAAUUCAAUUUCGUAAAGUCGUACGAAUUUCCUAUCGAGUUAUCUAAUAGAUUAUGUAAUCAAAUUCCUAUUUACUCCACCCUAUUGCUAUCAAAUUUCCCUACACCUUGAUGAGUUUAAUUUCCUCCAAAUCUGAACAAGAUUGGAAAAAUUCUAGUACCACGAAAAAGUUUUUCCGAGCUCGAUUUUCUCCCAUUUACAUUUUUAUAACGACAAAAACCAAUCUUUAUAGUCCAAUUAAUCGGCAUUUCUCACUUUUCCUUUUAACAAAAUUUAUAUGUUUUAUAGAAUUUUUAAAAAUAUAUUAUUAAAUCACAAAAAUACUAUGAUAUGAUUUUAGAAAGUAUUAUAACAAUAAAGAUAGAUGCUGACAAUACAAAGGUAGAAUAAAUAUUUGGAACGUUAAUUAAGCAAGAAAGGGAAGAAUGAUUAUUUCUUAAAAUUGAGGAUAGUUUAAAUUUUGAAGUAAAAUUAAGUGUAAAUAAAUUCAAACCCUUUUAAUAUAAUAGAUGUGAGUGUCCAAUUUUCGUGUCUUUUUUCCCCUCAUUCCAAAAUUAUCAAUAAAAUGGAAAAAUUAUUGGUUUAUUCAAGUUAUUAAAUUUUAAUAUUUUAAGUUAUCAUCCUGAAAGUAAUUUUACUUUUUGUAUGAUAAAUAAAUUGUCUAUUUUAAAUUAUUAGAUGUUAGAUUUGUAUAUGUAUAUUUAAUUUGAUUAUAAAUAAUAGAUAUUUAAAAUAAUUUCUCUCUAUAAAAUAAUUUGAUAUUAAAACUACAUUUGACACUUUUUCUUUUUCAUAAUUUGAUUAAAAAAGCAUUUUUCAAAUGAAUUAGUUAAAUAUAAAUUGUUCUUACAAAAAAUAUUUUUUAAAAAACUAUUUUAAAAAGUAUUUAUAAAAAAAUAAGCAGUUUUUAGAAGUAAUGUUAAACAGACUUUUAUAAUCAACUCUCUUUAGAAGAAAAAAAAACCUUUUAUACAUGUUUUCUUACUCUUGAACACCUCCUUCGCUCUUUCUAACAACGUCCUUAAAUAAUAUAGCAAGUCACAUUUCAUUUUUAAUUGUUUCAGUUAUACUUUUUAACUGAUGAUUCAAAGAAGUAUAGAAUUCAUCAUAAAAUAUAGCAGGGUAGUUGCUUUUCUUGUGUCUAUUACAAUUAUCAGUUCAAGGAUAGAUUAUAAAUAAACUUUAAUAAGUUGUUAAGAGUAAUAACAUUGGUAUUGAAAAAAAGUCGAGGGUAAAAACUGGAGUUUAUAUGUAGCUUUUUCUACUUUCUUGUAAUAUUUUUAAUGGUUUUGACAAAGAAGUGGGACAUGAUAUUUAAUUAAGAUAUGCUGAACUUAUAUAAAUGUUUUUUUGUCAUUGUUAGAAUAAAUUAAUGCUUUUAAAAAAAUGCUCAAAUUCAUUUUCAAACCAUUACAAGAUUCCAACUCCUAAUUCCAUAAUAGAUGUUUUCUUAAGAAGUUCAAUGAACUUACGUGGACAAGGACAAUAUUUUAAUUUGUUUCUAAUUUUUUUCUCACACUUUUUUCUUCAAAGCUUUAUUACUUAAAAUGGACAGAACAAUUAUAUAUAUAUAAGUUACUUUGUUGAGAAAAUGACAUAAAUAGUCCCUCAAUUAUAGGUCUAAAACGGUCCCUAAAUUUUAUACUUAAUGAAUUCAGUCCUUCUUCAAUUAAUUAAAAAUUUGUUAAUUUAAUUUUUUAACUAUACACUUAUCGAUUUUAUUCUCUUAACUAUAAAUUUAAAAAUUUUAAUCCUUUAAAUAUUUAAAAACUUAUUAAGUUUGAUCUUUGUCCGUUUUUAAAUAUAAAUAACUUAGGUUUUUAUAUUAACAGAAUCUACGCCUCGAGAAACUAAAUCAUUUAGCAACUUUUUCUGGUGGUUCUAUCUCCGUUACUUUUUCUUCAAAUUAACCUUAUGCGAAGAAGCUUAACCUCAACGAUUUAAAAUAAAAUUUAUGAAUAAAGAAAAUAUGAGUCAUAAUUUUAUUCAACAGAGCAUAAAAUGAAGCAUAUUAUUAUUACUAAUGACUUGAAUAUGUUAAACUUUAUUAUAAAAAGAAAAAAAUUAAUAUCCGUUAAAUCCAAAGUUUGUACUCCAACGAUUUCAUUGAACUAGAUUUGUUUAAAUUUUUCAGAAAUGAUAAUUUAUAAAAUGAUAGAUUUUAUUUUUUAGAAUAUUUUUUUAAAUAGAUCAAUUUUAUUAUUCAAUUCCUUUUAUUUUACAUAAAGAAAUUAGAGUAAAUUACAUAAAAUUCGGACUGAUUAGCAUAAUGCAUGAUGAGUUUCUCGAACAAAACUAUCAAAGUUUAGGAUGGUGCGUACUAAAAACCAAAGAUAUUUGUAUUUUAAAAAAUGGACAAAAAUCAAACUAUUGUGAAUAUUUAAAAAAUUAAAAUCGGUAAACUUAUAGUUAAGAAAUUAAAAUUGAUAAGUGUAUAGUUAACAGAUCAUUUUUAGAUCUACUCAUAUAGUUAAGGGACUAUUUAUGUCAUUUACUCUUACUGUCUUUAUUUUAAUUUAUGCACUCAUCAAUUUAAUAUAAUUUUUUCAUAUUAUAAAUUUUUAAUUAUUUUAAUUUAUAUUAUAUUUAUAUAAUUUUUAAAUAAUAUAUAUUAUUUCCUUUGUACAAUUUAUAUAACAGCAAUAAAAUUUCAAGAACUAACCAAAAAUCAUAUUUGAAAUAGUUCAAAUUGUUAACUAUUACAAUUUUUAUAUUAGUUUUUGUAUUAUUUUCAAAUAAUAUAUGUUACUUUUUAUCAUUCAAUUUUAGAUAAUAAAACUUUGAAAGUUAAUUGUUUUUUUCUCUCAAAUAUUUUAAAUUAUUAAUUUAUAAUUUUUUUUGUAUAUUUUUCAAUUUAAUCGUAAGACUUAUAAAAAUAUAAACAAACUAAAACAAAAAUAUAUAAAAUUUCCAUAAAUACCAUCGACUAGAGAUUUGAGCUUCUAGACUCUUCUAUCUAGUAGUACCCUCUAUCUUGUUCAUUUUUAUUUGUCAUAUUGCGUUUUUUGAAAAUGAACUCACUAAUUUUUAAAAUUAAAUUAUAUUACAAUAAUUCAAUAUUUUAUGCAAAAACUUUAAAUGUUCAAAAAUGAUACAUAAAAUACUAUAAAUUAAAAUUUUUUGCAGAUCAAUAUGAUAAAAAAAAAUACAUUACAAAAUGUUAGUCAAUUUUUUUAUUGCUAUAAUAAAGAAAAGGAAAGUAUGACAAUUAAGAAAGAACAAAGAUAAUAUUAAAACAAAGUACUCCAUAAAAGAAAGUAUGACAAUUAAGAAUGAACAAAGAUAAUAUUAAAACAAAGUACUCCAUAUAUAUAUAUAUAUAUAUAUAUAUAUAUAUAUAUAUAUAUAUAGUUAAAAUACAUGCACCAAACAUUAUAAGGUAAAUCCAAGAUUUAGAAAAGCAUAAACAACAGCACAAGACAACAAACACUAAUACUAUUACAAUUGCAUGCUAAGGCACGCAACUUAUUAUUAUUAUCAUCAUAUGUACUCUCUAAUCUCUAUUACUACUAUUACUACUACUACACCCAAAAGCUAAUUAAUAAACUACUCAGCCAUAAAAUACUCCCGAAAUAACACUUUGAUCAUGUUCAGUAGAACUGAUGAUGAGUUGAAGCAAAGUCCUCCAUCAGAAAAACAUUAAGAGGAUCAGAAUCGACGAUCCCUGAAAAUUGAUCAGAUGGCUCCAAUUCCAGGAACGAUUCCAAAUUGGAAAUCUGUUCCUUCAGUUCAUAAUCUUCACUAACUAUGGGCAUUUCCAUGGGGUAGUAGGGAGUUUGGCUCUGAUACUGGACAUCAUAUCCAAAGUUCAUCAAAGGAGAGUUGUCAGAACUCUC